AUAAGCCAAGGAGAUAGUGGGAGGCAAAUUGAACUUGAAGAACUUCAAGAGUCAAGUGGUAAAGGAACUUCAAACCCUAGCCCUCAACUUGAGGAGAAAACUCAUCUUGAACCAAUUGACGAUUUUGUACCUCUGAGGCGAUCCACGAGAGUUAGGAAUGCACCUGAGCAUUACUAUGGGUUCCAUAUUACUAUGGAAGGUGAUACACUUAUCAGUGAUGAGACACUGAUUGGUCUGGAUGAACCGAACAGUUACGCGGAAGCCGUGGCAGGCCCUGAGUCUACUAAAUGGAAAGAGGCAAUGGACAGGGAGAUACAAUCCAUGUAUGACAAUCAAGUUUGGAACUUGGUUGAGAAUGUAACAGGUCGUAAGACUGUAGGGUCACUACAAGAAAAAAUGCCUUUUACGACGCGCAAAAUACGACGCUCAUUGAUCUAUGUUACGCAAAGGAGAGUGACAUUAGAAAAAUGUCAUCUCUUCAAAAAAUUUAAGGAUAGAAGACACGCAUUAUUGCGCGCCCUUAAAUUAGUGUCUAAAAAAAACACGGAGGGCACCUAUAAUAAAAUGCGCGUCGUCUAAGGAUGUCGCUUUAUAUUUUUUAAUGGAAUGCGCGUUCCAUCCUUUAAUAGUGGGGGAAAGGGGGAAAUGAAAUUCUGAAAAAAUUAAAAACCCCGCCAUGCUCUCCUCUACCUUCUUUCAAUCGUUCUUCUCUCUCUCUCUCUCUCUCUCUCAAUCAAAUACCAAAUCAGCGCUCUGAUCAUCUCUCCCUUUCUCCGAAUCUAUCCCUAUCUUCUUCUCUAAUCCAAUUCCCGAAAUGGAGUUCAAAUCCAACAAUAUUUCUGAAGACAACAACAACAAUCAAGGAUGGCAGAAGGUUACUUACGCUAAGAAGAACAGGAAGAAUCAGCCUAAGCAGCAGGUGCCUCAACCGAAGGCGCUUCCAAACGGAUCCGUUGUCGCUGGUAAUGAUAAUGUCUUCACUGCUAUUGAGAAGAAAUCGGAGGAGCGUAGGAAGGUUAUAGAAGCACAGAGAUUGUCGAUUUAUGAUCCUGCUCCUCCUCCGGUUAAAUCGUCAAGGAAGAAGAACUACUCCNNNNNNNNNNNNNNNNNNNNNNNNNNNNNNNNNNNNNNNNNNNNNNNNNNNNNNNNNNNNNNNNNNNNNNNNNNNNNNNNNNNNNNNNNNNNNNNNNNNNNNNNNNNNNNNNNNNNNNNNNNNNNNNNNNNNNNNNNNNNNNNNNNNNNNNNNNNNNNCUCAAGGGCCCAAAGCACACACACACACACACACAUAUAUAUAUAUAUAUAUAUAAUAUAAUUUAUAUUUCAUUAGGUGGAAAGGGUUUGGGUGUGGUAAUUGAGAGAAUCUCCAGAUGCCCAAUUCAUUCUGUAAGUACAUUUACUUGAAUAAUCAUCACUUUCAUUAUUGUGUGUUGAUAUGAUGGUUUCCUGAGUUAAUUCCAUGAACAGGGUACCAUUAGUUGUAAAAUUGACGAUGCUGGUAGCCAUGAGAUUAAUGGUGUUCGAAGGAGGGACGUUCUUAACUGCUUUGGGGCUGCCAUUAGCAUGGUGAUUAUGCUUCUCUUUUACUCCCCUUUCGGUUUUUACUUUCCAUUAUCGAUCAACCCUCGAUUUCACUAAUUCUAAUAAUCUUAGCAACUGAUUACACAAAAUCAAUGUACCUUAAUGCAAUAACUACAGUAAUCAUAAAAGUAAUUCCAACCUUCUUAAUCUCAUAACUCAAAGCUACAAUAAUAUAAUGGGAAAAAUACGAUGUUAAUUAAGAUAUGAAGAAACUUAAAACUUAUAGUUCUUUGAUGAAUUUGAGUGAUGUGAUCAUUGAGUUUCCGCCAGUUGUUCUCUCUUCAUAGGAAUUGGUGGCAAGCUCCAGCCCAAUCUCGAGCCCAUUCAUUGAGGCAGCUAAUGCUGCUGAUUUGAUACAAAGAAGACAGCGUUCAGACUUUCAAUGUAAGCUCUUCAAUUGCUUUUAUUUUAACUCAUGCUUUAUAAUAUGAUUUUUUUUUUAAAACUUUGCUGAUGUGGAUGCCAAGUCACAAUUACAUAUCAACUACAUCAGUUUAUGUGAAUUACAGUUUAGAAACACUAGUAAUUAUAUUUACAGAUACUUGAACUUGAACUUUUUCUUUUUUUAUUUGGCAGCAAGUAUAAAGAUGACCCUCUAUAAAGCCAUUAAGGUAAACCAUGAAGUUUAUAUUUCUGUUAUAAGAUAUUUAGAUAAAGAAAUGUAAGCACAUUGCGUAUUGAUAUUUCCUGCAAUUUACCCUUUAGAAUUGCUCUUUUUGAGAAAUUUGAAUUGUUGUUUGAAUUUCAGGCAAAUCCAGAGCUGAUUUCACCCCUAUUAACAUUAGCACUUAAUGAUUCUAUGACAUAUGAUAAGGUCUGAAUCAUAACAUAUAAUUGUUACACUUUAGCUUACUUAGUGAGAGUUGUUUUAUUAGUUAAAAUUAAUUUCGUUAUUGUUAAGCUUUUAGCCAACAAAAACUGGAGGCCCUAAUGGAUCCAUACGCUUCAGGUAUUUCCCAUCUUCCACAUCUUACAAAGCUCUUAAAAUGUUUGAAUUUAUACUUUUUUUUUGUGUGUGUGUGUGUGUGAAGCUCUGAGAUUGAGAGACCAGAAAACAAAGGACUUUCUGCUGCUUUAUCAAUGGUGGAAGAAGCAAAAAAAGAGAUCGAUUCUUACUCUAAAGGUGGACCAAUUUCAUACUCCGAUCUCAUCCAAUUAGCAGGUUUGGUGUUUGUCAGAAGUAGCCAACAUAUCCACAACAACUUUCCCCCAAACGUUUGGGAUUUCUUUUUCUUAAUAUGAAAAUUGAUGUUAUAUAUUUAUUUAUUUAUUUAUUUGUUGGAUAAAUAUUGUUCAGGAUGAGGACGAAAGUACCCUCCACAUCACUGAGUUGCCAGUUAGAAGGUGGACACAGGAGUAUAAGGAGUUUUUGGAGGUUGCUUCAACUGCUGGAAAAGAUAAGAAACCUUUCAUAGAGUUAGAUUAUUAUACAUAAUUAUAAUAUCCUUCCUUUUCAUAUUUAUUUAUCUCAAAUUUGCAUUAUUUUUUAAUAAAUUUGACAGGGGAAUGGUUUAAGUGAGAUCACAAGUCACAGGUGUCGUACAUAUUGACUUUUGAUCACAUUCACUCUUUUGUUCAUCAGUAUACUUCCUACUUGAUAUCCUCAUUGAUGUAUGCAUUUUUCCCUUCAAAUAAUCAAAGCCUUUUUUUCUUUUAGUAUUAAUAUGGAACAUAAGCUUUUUGUUUUAGGUUCUUUCUGAAGCUAAGAAAAUAAUUGAUUCAUGUAUGGCUGCAAAGGUAAGUUUUGUAACAUCUUGUAUUCAAGAAAUAACAAUGUACUUUCCACAAAAAAAUUAUAAAUUAUAUUCUUUGAAAAAAUUGCUAGAUUGGUAGGUUUAAAAGUAGAAUGUCCUAAUAAGAAUUAAUUUUAAAUGUAGAAUGAAAAUGACAAGUGAUUUUGUGUUGUGUUUACAGGGUUGAUGAAAGUGAAUAACUCUGGAAUUAGAAGAGGAAAAGAAAGCUCAAGCUAAAAGAGAUAAGAUGCUACAAAUGCAAGUGUUGCAUUCUUCAUUUAAAUUGUUAGUAUGAAACACAGUAGAUUAGAUGAAUGAAAAUUUAUAUAUUGUAAGAAAUAGAAUUGUAUGACAUUAAAUUUUAUGCAAUGGAUUGUAUUUUUUGUAUAUGGUAUUUUAUUUCUAUUAUGAGACAUUAAAUGCAAAUUUCACUUAAAAAUUAAUAAAUAUAUAAAUAUAUAUUUUUUAAACAUUUAAAUUUACGAUACGCAAAAAUGUGUGUCAUCUUCAUUUAUGACAUGGCCUUUCUUGAUAGGGGCUUUCUUGAUACGCAUUGCGUGUCAUUAACACGCGCGUCGUAAGGUUACGACACGCNNNNNNNNNNNNNNNNNNNNNNNNNNNNNNNNNNNNNNNNNNNNNNNNNNNNNNNNNNNNNNNNNNNNNNNNNNNNNNNNNNNNNNNNNNNNNNNNNNNNNNNNNNNNNNNNNNNNNNNNNNNNNNNNNNNNNNNNNNNNNNNNNNNNNNNNNNNNNNNNNNNNNNNNNNNNNNNNNNNNNNNNNNNNNNNNNNNNNNNNNNNNNNNNNNNNNNNNNNNNNNNNNNNNNNNNNNNNNNNNNNNNNNNNNNNNNNNNNNNNNNNNNNNNNNNNNNNNNNNNNNNNNNNNNNNNNNNNNNNNNNNNNNNNNNNNNNNNNNNNNNNNNNNNNNNNNNNNNNNNNNNNNNNNNNNNNNNNNNNNNNNNNNNNNNNNNNNNNNNNNNNNNNNNNNNNNNNNNNNNNNNNNNNNNNNNNNNNNNNNNNNNNNNNNNNNNNNNNNNNNNNNNNNNNNNNNNNNNNNNNNNNNNNNNNNNNNNNNNNNNNNNNNNNNNNNNNNNNNNNNNNNNNNNNNNNNNNNNNNNNNNNNNNNNNNNNNNNNNNNNNNNNNNNNNNNNNNNNNNNNNNNNNNNNNNNNNNNNNNNNNNNNNNNNNNNNNNNNNNNNNNNNNNNNNNNNNNNNNNNNNNNNNNNNNNNNNNNNNNNNNNNNNNNNNNNNNNNNNNNNNNNNNNNNNNNNNNNNNNNNNNNNNNNNNNNNNNNNNNNNNNNNNNNNNNNNNNNNNNNNNNNNNNNNNNNNNNNNNNNNNNNNNNNNNNNNNNNNNNNNNNNNNNNNNNNNNNNNNNNNNNNNNNNNNNNNNNNNNNNNNNNNNNNNNNNNNNNNNNNNNNNNNNNNNNNNNNNNNNNNNNNNNNNNNNNNNNNNNNNNNNNNNNNNNNNNNNNNNNNNNNNNNNNNNNNNNNNNNNNNNNNNNNNNNNNNNNNNNNNNNNNNNNNNNNNNNNNNNNNNNNNNNNNNNNNNNNNNNNNNNNNNNNNNNNNNNNNNNNNNNNNNNNNNNNNNNNNNNNNNNNNNNNNNNNNNNNNNNNNNNNNNNNNNNNNNNNNNNNNNNNNNNNNNNNNNNNNNNNNNNNNNNNNNNNNNNNNNNNNNNNNNNNNNNNNNNNNNNNNNNNNNNNNNNNNNNNNNNNNNNNNNNNNNNNNNNNNNNNNNNNNNNNNNNNNNNNNNNNNNNNNNNNNNNNNNNNNNNNNNNNNNNNNNNNNNNNNNNNNNNNNNNNNNNNNNNNNNNNNNNNNNNNNNNNNNNNNNNNNNNNNNNNNNNNNNNNNNNNNNNNNNNNNNNNNNNNNNNNNNNNNNNNNNNNNNNNNNNNNNNNNNNNNNNNNNNNNNNNAAGGUACACACUUAUAAGGCUAGACUGGUUGCAAAGGGCUUCUCUCAAAUUGCAGGAUUGGAUUAUGAUGAGACUUUUUCUCCAGUAGCCAAGAUUUAGUAUAUUAAGGUUAUGUUAGUCAUAGCUGCAUUUCAUGACUAUGAAAUAUGGAAAAUGGAUGUCAAAACCGCUUUCCUUAAUGGAAAGUUGACUGAAGAUGUUUACAUGAGUCAGCCAGAAGGUUUUGUCAACAACGAGUACCCUAAUAGAGUGUGUAAGCUUGAGAAAUCCAUUUAUGGAUUAAAGCAAGCAGCUCGCAGAUGGAAUCUUUUCUUUGAUGAGAAAGUCAAAGAGUUUGGCUUUUCGAGAAGUGAAGACGAAUCUUGUGUAUAUGUCAAGGAUAGUGGGAGUAUAGUUAGCUUUUUGGUAUUGUAUGUGGAUGACAUACUACUCAUAGGAAAUGACAUCCCAACUCUGCAGGAAGUUAAGUCCUGGCUUGGGAAGUGUUUCUCUAUGAAGGACCUAGGAGAAGCUGCAUAUAUUCUAGGGAUAAGGAUUUUGAGAAACCAGAGUAAAAGACUAAUUGGACUUAGUCAAAGUACCUACUUGGACAAAGUGUUGAAGAGAUUCAGCAUGCAGAACUCCAAGAAAGGAGAGUUACCCAUCCAGAGUAACGCCAGAUUGAGUAAGACACAAAGCCCUAGUACUGAGGCUGAGAUAGCAGAAAUGAGUCGAAUACCUUAUGCUUCGGCUGUAGGAUCGAUCAUGUAUGCUAUGACGUGUACUCGACCUGAUGUAGCCUUUGCCUUGAGCAUGGUUAGCAGGUAUCAGGGGAACCCUGGCAAGGCACACUGGACUGCGGUAAAGAAUAUCAUCAAGUACCUACAGAGGACUAAGGACUGGGUCCUUACCCUCGGCGAGAGUGGUGACUUGAGAGUUGUAAGGUAUAGUGAUGCUGGCUUCCAGACUGAUAGGGAUAAUUUCCGCUCUCAGUUGGGCUGGGUCUUUACCCUAAACAGAGGAUCAAUCACUUGGAAGAGUUCCAAGCAGGAGACAAUGGCUGAUUCCACUUGUGAAUCAGAGUAUAUAGCAGCGAGCGAAGCAGCAAAGGAGGCAAUAUGGUUGAAGAACUUCAUUGGAGACCUUGGAGUUGUUCCAGCUAUAAAGGAGCCUAUGGAAAAUUUCUGUGAUAGUGAAAGUGUUGUUGCCUUAGCUAAGGAACCAAGGGAUCACGGGAGAUCCAGACACAUCGACAGAAAAUAUCAUUUUAUCAGACAUCGCAUAGAAGAAGGAAUCCUUGUUGCAAAGAGGGUAUCAUCAGAUGAGAACCCAGCAGAUCCCCUCACGAAGGGACUGAGUAGGGCUAAGCAUCUUCAGCAUGCUAGGAGCAUAGGGCUAAAGGAUGAUAUAAGUUUUAGUAGUUAGAUAAAUUAUGAAAUUUGUAAACUGUAAUUGACAUUUGAUGAUAAAUAAUAGUUGGUUGUUUAUUUAUGAGUAAAGUGUUACUAUCUUUUGUCAAUCAUUUACUAUAUUUUCUUUUGAAUGUUUUGACUUCCAGAAUAUUAUGUUGUGUUACUACAUAUUAUUCAAAUCUCCACAGUCAGUCAUAUGUUGAAAGUAGAUAUGAAUUAAGACUGUCAUGAAUUUGGUUGUAGGUGUCAAUGUUAAGGACAACACUUCAUGAGUACUUAUAAGUUCUGAGUACUGGAAUCAACCCACGCUCACUGGAAUCACUUCAUGGAAUUUCUCUCGAGUGAUCGUGAGACGAUAAUAUCACAUAAGUCUUCAAACCUAGAGAUAUAAUUUGUUACUUAUGAGUUGGUUAUGCAUUGAUUGUACGUAAACGCAUUGGUAACUCGAUGUUAUAAAACGUGCUUUUGUGUAUAAUUCAAUGAGUAGUAGAACAAACAUAUGAGUCGAAGUUUAUCUGUUCCUUCUUGGAUUAGAAGCUGAUAUCUGGGCCCCUCGAUGAUUUUGUUUUGACCUAUGUACCGGGCCUGGUCAGAACUAAAUUGAUGUGUUCAAUUAAGUUCUUUGUCAAACAAAUCGGAAAUCGGGAAACAAACUGUUGAACAAUAAGUAAGACAUUGUUCCAUGUAUUUGUCCGGCUGAUAUCUAGAACAAAGGAUUAUGUGAUCACUUAUCUUACAUGGUGUAUCAAUAUUUUCUCAGUUCUGAGAAACCUUGAAAGAGCUACGAUUGCUGAUCGGUUCCUGAAGUAUUACGGUUAUAGUUAUUAGACUUAUCCAAGUGGGAGACUAUUGGAUAAGGUGUCUAAGUCCAUAACUAUUUAUGGUAUGUACUUGACCCGACCCGGCAUGGUCCAUUUGGGUUGCAUCGCAUGAUGCAAUUGAAUAAACUAAAUGAGAGAAAUAACGCUUAUGGUUUAUUAAUAUAUUAUAAGUUCUAAUAUAUUAAUAAUAUUAUUUAAUUAGUUUUGAUCAAGAAUUAAUUAAGUGAUCAAAAGAUAACUAAUUAGAUAUAUGGGUAGAUUAUGUAAAUCUUCCAUAUCUUAUAUAGUGGGCUAAGAGGCUCCAUGGAUUGUCAACUUGGGUUCCACCCAUAGGAUGCUCCAUGGAUGCUCCAUGGAGUUAACCCAUGGAUCAAGAAAUGAAGAGUCAUGUUACAUUAGGGUUUACCUAAUGCAACACACUAUAUAAGCAAUGUGUUUCUCCCCAAAAUCGGCUACACUAACUAGAAGAAGAGGGCUUGGCCGAUUUUUCAAGUGUUAGAGUUUUCUCUAAAGUUUGUUCAUUGCAUUUGGUGUUGUGUGAAGCAUUUGAGGCAUCACACUUGAGGUGCUAGGCUCACAAGGUUUUAAGGAACACUUUCAACAACUAGGUAUGUAGUUCUAUCUUUCAUUCAAAGAAAAAUUGUUCCCCAUGUAUGCUAGAUAGGAACAUAACCAUGAAAAUCAACUUUGCAUGAUAAUUAGACAAACAUAGAUCCAAGGUUAUCAGGGUUGCAUGUACACUUAGGAAGUGUUAGAAUGCUAAAAAUCCAUCACUUAUGAAUAUUAAAUUUUAACACAAUAUUGCCAUAAUUCUAUUGCAGUACUAAGUAUACUAGUGUUAGGUUACGAUUAGAGACUCACUAACAUAUACCAUUAUUGUAGGAAUCGGUAGUGGUACAAGUGGAAGUAGUUCAAGGCACCAUUUGCAUCAUCUCAAUGCAUUGUGAGUAUUCACGAAUCCCCCUAUUUUUGGUUUAAUUGUUUUGGGGUGGAAAAGCAUGUCCAAAAACUAUUUAUUGUUCAUUGUAUUUAAAUUGAUUUGUAUCAAACUUUAUUGCUAUAUUUUGCUAUGUAUGUCUAUGCACCACGAAACAUGAGGCCUUAUAAUCUUAAGUCCCUACCCUUACACUUUUCUCCAAUCAUUAAGUCUUUGAGCCAAUGGUCAAUAUGGAUAACGCUAUUAGGAAUUAACAACUCCUCACUCGCUCGAUUAUUGGAGUGCAUGAUACCAUAUAAUCGAUGGAACGAUAAGCAUAGAUCUUGACAAGGCAUCAGUCAUAGGCUUGGUUGUGAACUCAUUGUUUGCUCAUAUACAUACAAACUCGCUUAUUAAUUAUAAUAAUGAACUUUGUUUCUCAUUAUAGCAAUAAGCUUUGUUUCUCAUUAUAACAACAAACUUUUGUUACUAGAAACUUUUUACUUGUCUUAAUAACGAACUUGUUUACUCAUUGUAGCAACGAAGCUUGUUUACUCGUUUUAGUAACAAACUUUAUUUCCCAUGAGAAUAUGAACAUUACAUCUCAUUUGGGCAACAUACUUUGUUCGUCAAGAUGACAAAGAACUUUGUUGCAAAAACAUAUUUACUCAUUUUAACAAUGUACUUUUAAUUAUGGAAACUUCUAUCAAAACAUAGAUUACCAUUCAUUAAACCAAGAUUUUUUUUAACCUGUGAGUACUCACCAACUAUUUUUAUAGUUGACGCUCAUUUUACAUGCAUUUCUAGGAAUCAUCUAGUAAGAGGCACAUAGAGACACAACACUUGUAGGAGCAUUUGCAUGUGUUGAUUUUUAAAUACAUUGUAAUUUCUUUUAGAAAGUUGUUCAAACUCAUUGUAAAUUUGUAAUGAUUUUCAAUACUAUGGUUGGUGUUAUCUUUUAACUUUUACUAUGAGACCCUUUGUACUGCCACACCUCGUGUUUCUGCUUUAGCGGGGUGUGACACUUACCCGAUUGAUAUGAUCCCUAUCCCCAUGGGGGAUGUAUGCGUGAGAGUGGGUAUGGAUUGGCUAACCAGGUUUGAUGCCAUGAUUGAUUGUGAGGACCAGCGAGUGGUAGAUCAAACCCCAAGUGGGGGAUAAUUGGUCAUCUAUGGAGAGGGCAUUGGGAUUGGUUUAGGGUUUUGCUCGGCAGCUAGGGCUUGAUAGUAUAUUCAGCAAAUGUGUGUCGGUUAUUUGGCUUCUGUGGUUGAUACUCGGGUUGGGGAGCAGACUUCAGUUUCAGAGGUACUACUUUUUAGGGAUUUUACUGAUGUUUCCCCAAAGGAGUUACUCGAUGUGCCUCAUGAGAGGCAAGUUGAUUUUAGGAUUGAUCUUGUGUCAGGUGUGGCCCCGAUUGCCAUGGUGUCGUACUGCUUGGCACCGCCUUAGAUGUAGCAUUUGUCAUCUUAGCUUCAGGAGCUUCUAGGCAAAUAGUUCAUUAGACCAAGCAGUUCUACAUUGGGACCAUCGAUACUGUUCGUCUUGAAGAAGGAUGGUUCACACCGGAUGUCCAUAGAUUAUUGUCACACCCCCAAACCAAGGAUAACGGAAACGUCCGGGGGUGGCGAACUUCAUAUAUAGUAUCACAACAAGAGUAUAAUAGUGCUCAAAGUAAAUACAACCAUCAUAAAUAUAAUUGAAAAGGUUACACCAUAGUACAAUUUUACAUCUUUCAAAUUCAAUUACACUAUGAUGACAAAAAUGAAAUGUUUGACGAUUUAACGUCCCAUCCUCAAAAGCUGUUGAUUUCCUAUUUUACUAAUUUCCUGAAAAUACAAGUAAUUUCGAAAAAGUGUCAAUAAUUAAGUUGGUGAGUUCAUAAGCUUUUGGAUGUAGAGUUGGAAAUCCUUUGUUUGUAAAUGUAAUGUAUACCCAAGAAAAAUCCAUUAUUUUUCUUAAUAAAUGUUAUGUAGUCUUAAAUCCCAAGACUGGGUGUAUGUGUGUACCAUACUUAUAACAAUGUAUGCAAUUUUAAAUAGAUAAAACCCCUUUUUAAAGUAUAAAUUCCCGUAAACUAUAAGUUUUUUUAUCUCCUUAUGUGAUUCGUUAUAACCAUAUUAUAAUAGACAUGCAUGCUGCGACGUUCUUUAGACAUCGAAAAUGAAAUGACAUUUGUCAUCCCUAUCGGUCGAUCGGGCUGUUGUAAGCAGCAUGGGAGUGGGUUGUCAAUCCCAAUAUAGAUCUAUACACAAUUAUCACGCUCUCCCUACAAGUGACUCUAGUUAUAACUAUUUCAAAAAUUUUAACCAGUACUCAAAGAGUACAAUGAAGACGUGUCUCACAAUUUACGAUAACGAGAUUACAUGUGGUAAACGUGUAAAACCUUUUAUAUGGUGGAAUUGAAAUCCCCUUUUGUGUAGUAUGUUUGAAAUGUGAAAUCCAUAAACUAUACCUAUUAUAAUUCAUCAUGUGGUAAAUGAAAACCUGUUUGUAUUGAGAGUAAAACCUUUUCUGUGUAAGUAAUAUGUUUAGCAAAGCAUAACUAGACUUCUUAUGUUUCAUCUUGUAUGUUUGAAAUGAUAAAGGACUCUUACAAUUCAAUGAGUAAUUUCUGUUAUUUAAACGUAACUUAACAGCAAACACAUGUAAAAUAUGAAGUCAUCAAAGAUAAACACUUUGCUCCACAUGUUACAAAGUGUUAUGAAAGUUGUAAGCUGUUAACUAGUUUUUAACUUUUCUGCACUAUUUUAGGAAAAAUCAUAGAAACAUCAUACGAUGUUGAAAACUGCAUCCGUAAACUCUGAGAGUUUAGAAAAUGUGUCUAGUUUAUUCAUAAUUUUUAUUAUGAUUUUUAGAAGUCUCUAACUUGUGUGAAAAUGUUCGUAUUCACAAACUGGUCCGAAUUCGUUUCUGAAAUGAUAGGAAGUUUUGUAAAAAUCACCAUAAAUUGUAGAAAAAUCAUAUGGAGAUGUGAAAGUAUUCAUUAGAAAGGUAUAAACCAGAACCACUUGCAUAUUAAACAGUUUUGAAAGAUAUUAUGUUUAAGAUGGUCAAAACAGUCCAUGAAUAGGACUCAACUUUUCUAUGAAAAGUUGAAGUAUGAGUUUGAGUUGUGUUAAGAUGAUUUAACUUGUAUCCCCCCCCCCCUAAAACUUGAAUAAAUCAUGAAAAUGUAGGGGUAUGAACUCACCUUGAGUGAUUUUCUGGGAUGAAUGUGAAAGAAUAGAGGUUUCCAAGUCAAGAACACUUGGUAAAUGCUUGGAGAGUUAAAGAUCUAAGAACAAAUAUGGUGAUAUUUGUUAUGAGAGAUCCAUAAUUUGAGUGAAGGUGUGAAGAAUCUUCAAAUGUAGGAUGAAAAUACUUACCAAAAGUGAGUGAAAAACUCAAUAUCAUCCUUGGACUCUCGAGUUUGUAGAGAGAGAGAGAGUGAGAGAGAGGUGUUGCUUUUUGGUGAGAGAGUGAGUAAAGUGGAAGGAGAGGUAAAGGUUUUCCAGCCUUUGAUCAAGAUAUCUUGAUGGAGGGGAGUGUGAGAGGACAAAUAGUUGACUUGGUAAGGAUGAAUAGUGACUGGAGGAUGUCAUAGGGUGGUAUGGGAGGUAGCUUGUCUCAUUACUUUAUGGAAAAUUCAACACUCCAAAUCAAAAUAUUACACAAUAGAUAUUAUUCUUAGACUAAGAUUUCCCGCAAAAAGUGAUUAAAAUAUGAAUAUAUUGGGUCUUAAAUGCUAAAAUAUGAGUUUGGGUGAAAAUCCCAUGUUAAAAUCAUGAAAAAACGAGCUUAAAACUCGAAGAUGUUCGAAAACCAGGAAAGGAGGAGCGAACCUGCGAGGGUUCGGUUCAUGUUGUUGAGGACCGAAGGUGGGUUCGGUCCGUGAAGCUCACAGGCGAAGGUGUCACAUGGGAGGCGAAGGAGAAAUAAACUGAGAGAAGUUGAAGCUUCGAUCCGAAGGGUCUGAUCCGAACCGAAGGUUGAGUUCGGUCCUACAGUAGGUUUCGGUCUUGGCAGGUUCAGUCCUUAAGGUUCGGUUCUUAAGGCCAGUUUCGGUGGUUAUAGGAAGGCUUCGGUUCAUAUAGGGAUUUCGGCCCUAUAUGGCUGUUUUUCGAGUAGUCUUUCCAUUUAGAGUGGUUUUUAACUAACUUAUGGGUCAGGAUGACCCUAAUGAUUAUAAAAAGUUGAAAGAGAUUUUGAGAGAGAUUUGGGAGACAUUUGGGAGAGAGAGAGAGAGAGAGAGAUAGAGUGAGAGAGAUUGAGAGAGACUUUAUUUGUGACCUUUGUGAGUGUUUAGCCUCAAAAUACAAGGUUUGCAAGCCCCGAUAAUCCUUGUUAUGAGUGUUAUAUGCCCCCGAAGGGUAUGUAAUAGUAUUUUAUCGAGUAGUUACAUCAUUUACCAUGAUUAGGGUUUAAAUUUUCUGAACAUGUGAGAACUCAAAGUGAUACUUUGCAUUAAGAUAGUGAGUUGUACAAUCGUAAGCAUAAUGUAAAAUCUAAUAUACAAGGGUUAAUUGUGUUGGCCAGUUUGACUUGUUGACUUUAUUUGUCUUUGACUUGACCAGAAAGUGACGGUUGUCACCUCAUUCCUCCGUUAGAAGGAAUUUCGUCCCGAAAUUAGCGUUUUGAUUAGGACUUUAGGUGUUUGGGAAGAGGUGUGGGUAUUUUUGUUUCAUCUGAUCUUCACGUUCCCAGGUGAACUCAGGUCCUCGUUUAGCGUUCCAAUGGACCUUCACAAUAAGGAUGCGACUCUGUUUCGUUCUCUUGAUCUCUCGAUCCAUGAUUUCUACUGGUUCUUCCACGAAGUGGAGACUCUCGUUGAUUUCGAUCUCGUCGAGUGGUAUUACAAGAGUCUCGCCGGACAGACACUUCUUUAUGUUCGAUACGUGGAAGGUAGGAUGUACAUUUUUGAGUUCUUGCGGUAGCCGAAGCUUGUAUGCUACCGGGCCAAUCCUAGCGAGGAUCUCGAAUGGCCCGAUGUAUCUAGGGUUCAGCUUUCCUCGUUUACCGAAACUUAUUAAACCCUUCAUGGGUAAGACAUUUAAUAGCACUCGAUCUCCAACCUAGAAGUCCAAAGGCUUUCGUCUAUUAUCUGUGUAACAUUAUGUCUGUCUCUAGAAGCCUUUAGUCACUCUCGGAUUUCGAAAAUUUUCUCUGUAGUUUCUCUUAUGAUCUCCGGGCCAGUGAGGGUGCUGUUAGGGACUUGUCCCUUAGCUAGUUGCAUGUCACCCACUACAGCCCAGCACAGAGGUGAUCUGCACUUGCGGCCGUAGAGGGCUUCGAAUGCUGCAACCUUGUUGCUAGUAUGAUAAUUGUUAUUGUAUGAGAAUUCUCCAAGUGGUAAAUGGGUAUCCCAAGCUUUACCAAAAUCUAUCACACACGCCCUAAGCAUGUCUUCUAGCGUCUGUAUGGUCCUCUCACUUUUCCUGUAAGUUUUGGGUGAUAGGCAGUACUCAUGUCCAGCCUAGUUCCCAAGGAUUUCUAAAGUGACUGCCAGAAUCGCAUAGUAACUCGAGUAUCCCUGUAUGAGAUAAUGGACUUUGGCACCCCAUGCAACCUCAUAAUUUCCUUGAUGUACAUUUUGGUCAGCUUCUCCGUUUUUUCGGUCUCCUUCAUCGGUAGGAAGUGUGCGGACUUGGUCAACCUGUCAACGAUCACCCAAAUGGUAUCGAGGCCACCCAUUAUCUUAGGUAGUUUGGUUAUGAAGUCCAUGGUUAUUUGUUCCCACUUCCAUUCGGGUAUCGUAGGUUGUUGUAGUAGGUAGUGAUUUCGGCUUUCAUGUUCGGCCACCCGCAGAGUUUCUUCAGGUCCAGGUACAUCUUGUCCGAACCGGGAUGUACGGAGUACCGAGUUUUGUGUGCUUCGUUCAGGACGACGUCCCUGAACCCCCGAAUUUCGGUGUCCAAAUUUGGUUCAUGAGAUAACGAGCUCCGUCAUUCUUGAAUUCUAGAUUCUUAUCCAAUCCUCUUAAUGCCUCACCUGUCACAUUAUGAGGUUUCAAAGCUUCUAGCAAGAGCAUCUUUGAUUUGCAUGGACAGGUGCAAAUGGAUUGUCAUGGUUAAUGACUUUACUCGUCGACCCGAGUAUUUUUUUCGACUUAAGGCGUCAGCUACUACGUUGGCCUUACAUGGGUGAUAACGAAUCCUACGGUCGUAAUCAUUCAGUAGUUCUACCCAUCGUGUCUGCCUCAUGUUGAUCUCUUUUUGAUUGAGGAUGUGUUGAAGGAUUUUGUGAUCGGUAAAGACAGUACACUUCGUUCCGUAAAGGUAGUGCCUCUAGAUCUUUAGGGUGAGUACUACUGCUCCCAAUUUGAGGUCAUAUGUGGUGUAGUUGACCUCGUGUGUUUUUAAUUGCCUUGAUGCAUAGGCAAUGACCUUUCCUCGUUGCAUUAACACACAUCCAAGCCCCUGGUACAGUAGACCACGAAGUAUUCGUUCUGGGAGAGAUAAAAUUGGGGUGCUGCAUAGGGCCUGCUUUAGUGUUCUGAAAGAGGUUUCUUGCUUCUCUCCCCAUUUAAAAGUCACACCUUUUUAGGUCAGGGUGGUAAGUGGUUUGGCAAUCUUGGAGAAGUUUUGGAUGAACCUUCGGUAGUAGCUAGUGAGGCCUAAGAAUUGUCGGAUUUAUGUAGGCGUCCUUGGUGCUGACCAGUUCUCGAUCGCCUUGAUUUUGGAGGGAUCCACGUGUAUCCCUUUCUCGCUAACCACAUGACCGAGGAAGACCACUUCUCAGAUGCAAAAUUCACACUUCGAAAAUUUUUCAUAUAAUUUCGCCCUUAGUGUCUCCAAUACCUGUCGUAGGUGUUGGCUAUGCUCUUCCUCACUCCUUGAAUAGACCAGGAUGUCGUCUAUGAAUACAAUCACGAACUAGUCUAGGUAAGGCCGACACACCCGGUUCAUUAGAUCCAUGAACACCGCGGGUGCGUUCAUUAACAUGAAGGGCAUCAAUACAAACUCGUAGUGACCGUACCGAGUCCUGAAUAUAGUUUUGAGAACAUCCUCCUCCUGGACCCGUAGUUGAUGGUAUCCCAACCUCAGAUCGAUCUUUGAGAAGUAAGAUGCUCCUUGGAGUUGGUCAAAUUGGUCGUCGAUUCGGGGUAAAGGGUAUCAGUUUUUGAUGGUAAGCUUAUUUAAUUUGUGGAAGUCGAUGCACAUGCGGAACAAUCCAUCUUUCUUCUUCACAAAUAGAACUGGUGCUCCCCAAGGCGAGUAGUUGGGUCGGAUGAACCCCUUGCUCAGCUGUUCGUUUAGUUGGCUCUAUAGUUCUUGCAUCUCAGUUGGCGCUAGGUGGUGAGGCGCCUUGGCUACGGGGGUAGCUCCGGGAAUUAGGUCGAUUCGGAAUUCGACUUGUCGUGUGGGUGGAACUCCGGGAAGGUCUUCUGGGAAUACGUCAGGGAAAUUACAGACCUCCGGGAUGUCCUUGGUUUCCUUCACCUCUUGUUUCUUAUCCACUACGUGGGCUAAGAAGUCAUGGUAUUCCUUUCGGAGAUACCUUUGUGCUUUGGCGCAAGAGAUGAUUUGUAGGUUUGUACUAGGCUUGUGGCCGUAGACAACGAGAGUUUCGUCGUCCGGCAGAUUAAGGCGAACGAACCUUUCGUAACACAAAAUGUCAGCACAAUUUGAGCUUAACCGAUCUAUGCCGAUGAUGAUGUCAAACAAUUUUAUUGAAACCGGCAAUAGAUCGAUUUUGAAUGAGUGAUUGUCUAGAGUGAGGGUACACCCUGAGUAUAUGUCGUUAGUGCUUUCUGUUUUUCCAUUUGCCAUUUCUACGACGUAUGUAUCUUUUAGUAAUUGGGGAUUUUUUUAACAGUUGUUUGAAUUUGUGGCUAACGAAACUCCUCUCCGCUCCCUUAUCGAAUAAUAUACAUGCAUAUGAGUUAUUAAGGAGAAACAUACCAGUAACCACCGUGGGAUCUUCCCUCGCUUCCCCCUGCCCUAAGGCCAAGAUUCUUCUGACACCGCCGGUGUUUGUGUUUUUAGCUUUUGGGCAUUCCCUCUUGUAGUUCCCGGUUUCCCGGCAACCGUAACAGGUUCGGCUUGAUCCGGUGUUGGCGACCGACUUGCCUUGUUGGGCAGACGUCCUACAGAAACGGGUGGUAUGCCGAUUUUUGUUACAACUGUUGUAGUGUAUUUCUCGACAAGGACCAUUGUAGUGAAUGUUGCACUUGCUACACUUGGGAAGGUUUCCAACGUAUUGCCUUAGUGGUGCCGGAGUGGAAGGAUUAGUGGAAGCAUGGAUGGUAACAGUUUGUAGCUUCUUGGCGGGGUCCUGUGCCGGUUGCUUUUUCUUUUAUUGUUCCAGAACUUCCUCUUGUUGUUCCUUACUCUUGCUUGAUUAGAGGCGGUUGUCACAGUGCUAUCGCUGGCCCGAUGAUCAAUGAGUUGUUGUGUAAUCUCCUUGGCACUGUUAAAGGUAGUUGUUCUUGAGGCUAACACACUAUUUUCAAUCUGGGGAGACAAUCCCUAGUGGUAUCGCUCCACCUUCUUACUUUCCGGAAGGACCAUCGCUGGACAGAGGAGUGCUAGAUCAUUGAAUCGGGCAGUGUAAGUUGCAAGGUCAGAGCCCGCCAUUUUGAGACACCACAGUUCUUGCUCUAAUUUUUGCACUUCACCCCUUGGGCAAUACUCCUUCAGCAUCAUAGCUUUAAAGUCUUCCCACAUUAUCGAAUUAGCCACGACGAGUGUCAGUGAUUUUAUGUGGCCGUUCCACUAAAUAAGGGCCUUGCCGGUGAAAGUGCAAGCUACAAAUUUCACUUUGCUUGCUUCGGGACGUGCACAGAUCUCGAAGACGGAUUCGGUGUUCUCGAACCAUUGCAUCAAAGUUAUGACGCCCCUGCUUCCGUUGAAAGGAUCGGGUUUUCCAUUUGUGAAGUCCUUAUAUGAAUAUUCUCUCAAACUCCCUUGGCUAUCUCCUUAAGUGGAGUUAUUAGUACCGUCAGUGGUGAUUUGGGACAUAGCAGUUGCCACUGCGGCCGUAAACGCAACUUGGAAAAUGGAACGAUCAUACUGGGAAGGAGGCAGUGGUGUAUUUGUUUGUGUUCUACCAACGCUUCUAGCAGAUCUAUGGGGUGGCAUCUUUCUGCCAUAAAGUUUAAAGGCGAAAUUUAUGUAAGUCUUUUUGUAAUGGUUAUAAAUCGGGUGUCGUAGAACUUGGUUAUUAGUUUUCAAGUAUAGUAUUUCACGACUUUCCAAAGUUUGAAAACAAUUCAAAAUAGGAGUCUAUGUAAAUAAACUUAUGAAUCUAGUAGUAAUGACUCAAAUGUAAUAUUGUGAUCUUUGUUCCAUGCCUGAUCCACUCAUAAGACCACUCGAUGUAUACCAGUUGUGUGUAACUAAGGUUCAAUAGACUGUCGAACUUAAUGAGUCUGACCUAAUCCCAAAACCAAACAAGGAACAAGACCCAAGGCAGACUCACCAUUUCUAAGUCGAUCACCUCUUAGUUACAUAUAAUCUCGAGGUAUAUAUUAAAUAAUCUUAGAGUUACCAUAAGAAAAUUGUUUGUAAUGCUAUGUUAUGAAUUUGGAGGUGAACUCGCAAUGAAAUAAAAUGCAAGCCAAUUUUCAUUAAUACAAUUUAGUACAUGUUCAUAGGAAAAUUUGACCUUAUAGAAGGUCUACAUUAUAUCAAUGUAACAGAAACUUUUGGCAGCACAUUGACCCUUCGACUAGUGUAGCCACUUAGACGCAGGGUCAAACCUACUUGCAGGAAAGAGUAGUCCCAACACAUACUUGUAAACCUAGAUUAUAACAAAAUGUGAGUAGUGCAAGCACUACUCGUGGUGGGUGGUAUCAACUGGUCCAUUGCGGCCUUGACACGAGGUUGAGGCUCCCUGAAGCUCUGCAAUCAGGCGUUCGGCCGCGAUCACUCUUUCCUUGAGAGAUGCGUGCCUUUCCAGGUACUCCCUUACCUCCCCUGAGCGGCGGUAAGGUCCUCGAUGAGUUGGUUAUGGGAUAGAAGUCUUUUUCCAAAUCCCUAGUACGUGCAUCGGUGGCUUCUACAACAACGUUGAGAUCCCGAACUCGAUCUGCCUUUUCCCUAUUCUGGUUCCCCAGGUUCGACUAAGGUCGUAGUAACCCAGUUGAUCGCCAAAUUGUGAUCGUUGUCGUUGUUGACCAAGUCCACACACUUCCUACAAAUGAAGGAGACCGACAAAAUGGAGAAGCUGACCAAUAUGUACAUCAACGAAAUCGUGAGGUUGUAUGGGGUGCCAAAGUCCGCUAUCUCAGACAGGGAUAGUCGAUUUACUUCAGUCACUUCAGAAAUCCUUGGGAACUAGGCUGGAUAAAAGUACAACCUAUCUGUGACAACUCGAAAUUCAUUCCGCUGUGGUAUCCCAUUCCCGUUAAUAGAAUACUUUAUUUUAUUAUUAUUUUUAAGAUUUCCGUUAACAUUUGGGUUAGACAAAUCAACUAAUGAUUUAUUUUAUUUUAGUGUCGAAAUGAAAUAAAUAAAAACACGAGUAAUACCCUCAAAGUUAUUUGGGAAAAAUUUUUAGUUUACAACUAAGUCGGGUUACAACCAUUUAAUUGGGUAAAAAUUUAAUUUCCGUUAAUUGUCGGUAUGCAGUGGAUCCCCACCUGGCCACCAACUCAAGCCCUAUAUAAGGGUUGAGUGGUCACCAUCUUAAACUUUUCACCACUCUAGUUACUCUCUCUCUACUCUCUCUCUCUCUCUCUCUCUCUCUUUCUCUCUUCAAGGCCCGAUUCUUCCAAAAAUCCGCAAGUUUCCGCUCCCAAACUGUAAGUUCUCUUACCCUAGAUUGUUCUAAAGCUCAUUACAUGUCAAUAUAGCUUGAAAAUCAUCCAUGGAGGCCAAGAACAAGGAGUUUACGGCCCAAGAACCCUCUUAGUCCGUAAACCCCUAAAAGGGUGCCAAAAUGCCCCAAAUUCCUUCCUUAGGCUUAGAGCCUAACUUUGAACUUGCCCUUGAAGUGUUUUCGACAUUAAACAUUAUGCUUAGAGGCUUGAAAGAGGGUUUACGGCCCGGGAACACUCUUAGGCCGUAAACUCCCUCUAAUUAUGCAAAUUGAGCCUUAAACCUCCUAUUUACCCUUGGACCUUCACUUAGAAACUAGUAGGAGUGAGCUAAGGACCUCAAAAUCGAAGUACAAGGGGUGUCCAAGAGUUUACGGCUAUAAACCAUGGGGUUCACGACCGUAAACUCCCAAGGAGUGGUCCUAGGACUGCAAACUCCAAGGGAGUGCCCCCUUUUAACCCUAAACACCCCUCAAGCCAUGGAUUAAACCCUAGAANCUUGUGAUGUGAAACCCUUAAGCACUCAAAUGCACUCCUCCCAUGAGUUUACGGCCGUAAACUCAUGGGGGAAUUGGUCCUUCAACCGUAAACUCACCUAGGGUGAGUAUUUGAGGAAUAAACUUCGUAGUGAGGCCUUACACUCCUUCCUUGCAACCUAAUGGCCUCCUAACACUUGACCAAAGCGUUUUUCUUUGCAUUAGUAUGUCUAUACUUGUUUAAUUAGUGUUUAGUCACUAAUUAUAUGUAAACAUAUGUCUUCAUAUGUUUCUAGGGUCCUAGUGUGUGUUCAAGUCUUCACUUGACACCUAGCAUCCUACCCGACAUUCCAUCCACUCCACUCGCUGCAGGUGAGUUCAUACCCCUUAAUUAACCUUUCUAAUGUUUCUUUUAAAUGUUUUAGGGGGGAUACAAGUUAAAUACAAUAAGUUAUAGUAACAAAUCAUAUGUGAAUUAUAACUUGAAAUCAAAGAGGAUUUUUCUAUACUUUUAGCUACUUGUCAACAUAGCUGUUUUAAAUAAUUAUCAACGCAUUUUGUAUGUUAAAUUGAUGUUAAACUAUUUUCAAACUGUUUUUAAACUACUUUUCUUUUAAACUAUAUCUACACCAAUAUAUUUAUAUAAGUAAGACUUGAAGGACUUAGCACCGAUAGCUAGCCUUACUUCCUGUUCUUUUUUGAUUGGGGUCUUAUGGUAUACUGUUAUCUGUCCGACUGUCGUUGAAUUCUUAGUUAUAUAUUCUAUAUAUUUUUGUUAGAUACAAAAGUCUUAAUCUUACUCAUUACCUUUGUAAAUCAAAGGCAUGCAAUCCCACACUCUAUUUAACUAUAAUAGGUAUAGUUAAGACUACUGCUCAUUUCCUCUAUCACUAUGAUACUCACUAUAAUUGCUAUUAUUACAACUUAGUGCAUGUUAAAGACAACACUCUAUAUACUAUACUAAAAAGUUCAUUAUACUAUAAUACAAGAAAAUACAAUAAUCCAGAAUGUGACACACUAUUCCUCUAUAAGGCACUCUACUGUGCAAACACCUUGUAACCAGAGCUUCCCCAAGGGGAAGCAACCACUACAUGUAUAGAUCUAUACAGGAUAGACACUAUUACAUCCCGACUGCUAACUACAGUCUGAGCCGACUAGGCCCAGGGGUGACGAAACAUAACUACACUACGUAUGACCGGGAAGGUCAUCGGAUACUCUACUAUCACUAAGAUUGGUUACAUGAGAAAUCACAUUCGUACCCAAAUUAACACACUAAGAACUAAAGGCUAAACUAACUUCCCAAAGUGAGUGUAUAUACAUAUAUUACUAAACUGAAGCUUGCAACACUACUGUAUCCAGCCGGCAGUAAAAUUGCUAAAAUAAGAUAUUAUCUUUCCUCAUUUACCUUACAUGAAUGAAAUCCAUAAUCUUAUUUUCAUGAUUAACAGUCUCAAUGGAAAGCUUUUACACACUCAAACGAUCAAACUUACAAAUAUGUAAAUCUGGAAAAUAUAGGAUUUUCAAGGGAUUUUACUAUUUUCAAACAUUAAUCACAACUUUUAUAUUACAUGAUUGUGAACACUUUUAUACAAGCAACGACACUAAAUUCUUAUGAACUCACCAGCUUUNUGAUACUCAUUUCAAAAUAACUUGUAUUCUCAGGUCAAAAAUAAAUAGGUACUGAUGCAACCAUUUGAGAAGAUGGAGCAUAUACAAGACCCAUCUUUUAUUUUUGUUUAUACUUUUGGUGUCUAUCAAAACUGUACAGAACACGCUUGUAUUUACAAUCACUAUAUUAAUGCAAUGGUUUUUGUCGCUUGUUUUUACUAUUAUGCAUUGUUAUGAUACUAUACAUGACGUCCUACACCUAGAACGAAUUCCGCCGUUCUCGGUUUUGGGGUGUGACAGAUUGGUAUUAGAGCAUUGUUUAUAGUGAAUCAAGUAUAUCAACCCAUAAAAGAUAUACGAACUAUAAAAACUUCAGGACUAAAACACUCUGACCAAGAAUAUAUACUUUAAAUGCUAAAUUUUUUAAUUAAGUAUAUAUCUACAUUCACCAAUACAAAGGGUCAGUAUCAUACUAGAACAAAACAAAAGUAUUAAGAUUGUUGAAGAGCACAAUUAGGCUUAGAGACAUAUAGUCACAUCUGGUUGGAUGUAGCCUGAUCAACUACAUUUUCCUAGGAGUGACUAGCAUGUGCCUAAGACUGAUUAUGAUGUUGCAACAAGUCUAAAAACUUACCAACACUACCACAAGAACGUUAGAACAAGAAUACUAUAGGAGUAUUAUGCAUUCUGCUAACUACAUAUGUGAUAACUAAAAAGGGUCGUUACUAGUAGGGAAAUAGUUGCUAAGUGGAUACACAACAGUUACAUGUGACUAGGGUGCUAUAGACUUAGAAUCUGUGACCUUUGCUUCAUUUCCUAUUCAUGUUUAAUUGGGGAUCUGGAGUUAGGGUAUCUUAUUCGUGGGACUAUCUUGGUUCGGUUACAUGUAAUUGGUAUGCACUAUGCAAGUAUUAAGUCAACUAAUAACGACCAUCUUAUAAGUAUCCUAGAUUAGUACAUCUAUUAACCUUUCUGACCCCAUUCUCGCAUAGAUAGCAUGGUUGGCUUCCACCUUCCCAGCGAUUCGUAUUAUCCGAACCUAGGAAAUGGAGGAUGGCUCGAUGAGGAGCCAAACGAUGAUCACCCGAUCCCUUUGGAUGAUCACCAUGCUGAAGGCUUUUCGGAUGACUCCGACUCCGAGCCAGAAGUCAACAACCUGCCCCCAGUAGCUCCAAACCCUAACCCCCAUCCGGCAUUUCAAGGUCCCACUCCCAUAUGGGCAAUAACCUUGAACCGAUGGAGCGAUGAUUAGGGUCAACCUUUACCUUUCAACGGAGACCGAAGCUUCAACAACAUAAGCGAGGGAGGUUCAGCGGACCGAGUCUUGCCCAUCAUGGUCCGAAGGAUUGCCAGGAACGUCGAGCAAGGUCACGCAUCUAUUGGCCGAGUUGUGGAAGUUGACGCCAACUCUAACCUCAACACUGUUCGCAUCCGCCAACUGGAAGAAGCUAUGGAUAGGACGAGGAGGACCAAUGAGGCUCUGCAGCAACAGCUAGCUACAUCCCGAGCCGAAGUCAGGGAACUCCGGGCACAUCAAAGAGUACAAGAAAGACAUCUUCAAGAAGUUAUGCGCCAACUGGCUGAUCAUAGGGUUCGCCCAAGGGAUACCCGUCGCCAGUAGAAGAUGUCCACUUAUCUCCCUCUUUUUUUUAAGGAAUAGCCUUUUCAUUUCUAUGCUCGGUAGAGCAGUUGUCUGUAAACAUUCCUAACUUUGGAAGCACUUUACCUAGGCUCCUAGACUGCCAACAUUUUCCAUUAUGGUUUGAUGUAAGGCGUACUGUUAGGUCACUUUUCCUGAACUUAUAUUACAUCAUUAAUACCAGUAAAAUUGGCAGUUACCUACUCUGUUGCUAUGACUCUCUCUGAUUAUUGGGCUAUGCUGAUUUAGUCCAUGAAACACUCUUCUCAUGCUUGCAAUAGACUCUUACUAUUGACAUCAUCUCUAUGAACUUUCAGUAAAAGAUGCCUCCUCGCAAGCGCCCGAACAGAGGCAGACCUGUGACUCAAACCCCACCUCCACCUCCCCCUCUACAGUUCGAACCAGUGAUGUUUCAAACAGCUGUGACCGCAGCUCUGAAGGCAGCCAUGACCCAAAUGAAUUCGGGCGAUGCUAGUGGAUCCGCAAUGGACACCAACUCCAGACAUGGUGAAAUACAUACACAUACACAUGAGUGUACUUAUAAGGAUUUCAUGAACUGCAAACCGACAUUUUUCAAUGGAACCGGAGGAAUCCUUGCUUUGUCCCAAUGGAUUGAAAGGACUGAAGUUGUCUUCGAAAUGUGCUCAUGCCUCGAAGAAAGCAAAAUAAAGUUUGUUGCUGCCACUUUUACUGAGAGGGCCUUGACAUGGUGGAAUGGCCAUGUCAAAUCACUCUCCUUGGUAACAGACAAUGCCAUGGGCUGGUACACACUAAAGGACCUACUGAUGAAUGAGUACUGCCCUAGGGGCGAAAUUCAGAAACUCGAAGAAGAAAUUUGGAACCUCAAGAUGAAGGGGACUGACAUAAUAGCUUAUACUGCUAGGUUCUGCGACCUGGUAGCUAUGUUUCCUAACUUGAUCCCUUCUGAAAGCAAGAAGAUAGAACGAUACAUCUGGGGUUUAGUGCCCGCGUACAGAGGGAACGUGUUAGCAUCAUGCCAUGCGACCUUUGACAGCGCCAAGGAAUUGACCCAAAGGUUGAUUGAUCAUGAAACUCCCUCCACCCCAUCAACAACCACGGCGACUACCACUGCACCACCCCAAAUCAACCGACAACAAGAGGAAGCGUUAGGACUAGAAGAGGGGCAAGAAAACUCAAUACUCCUCCAAAAAUCAACAGGUGGUGGCCGUCCAUGCUGCCACCACUCCUACUGCCCCCGUACCAGCCAAAUCCUAUGUUGGAAACUUACCUAAGUGCCCCAAGUGCCCCUUCCAUCACAACGGCCCCUACCGUGAAUUGCACUACACCAACUGCAACCGGAACGGCCAUACCGUCCGGUUUUGCAGAUCCCAACCCAAACCUAUCUUUCAAGUCCCCAGCUCGGGAGUAAGCCAGGCCUACUAUGGCUGUGGUGAGGUAGGUCAUUUCAAGAAAAACUGUCCAAAGGUUGGGAAUACAGGAGGAACGGGAAGACUACUCGCUAUUGGCCACAAUGAAGCAGUAGCGGACCCCACAGUAGUCACGGGUACGUUCCUUCUCAACAACUCUUAUGUUUGUGUCUUAUUCGAUAGUGGUGAAGAAAGAAGCUUCACAAACCAAAACUUUAAACACUUACUUAAGAAAUCCCCACAACCACUAAAAGAAACAUCUGUCAUAGAAAUGGCUAACGGAAAGACAGAGAGCUCUAACGAAAUCUACAUAGGUUGCACCCUCACGCUAGAUGAUCAUUCAUUCUCAAUUGACCUCAUACCAGUUUCGAUCAAGAGUUUCGAUGUCAUUGUGGGCAUGGACUGGCUGAGUCUCCAUCGUGCGGAUAUACUAUGCUUCAACAAAGCAAUCCGUUUAAAUCUACCAAAUAACGAAACUGUGUUAAUCUACGGAGACAAACCCAGUGCGAGUCUUCGUAUCAUCUCAAGUAUUCAAGCCCAUAAGUACUUAUGUAAAGAGUAUCAUCCAUUCCUUGCACACGUUGUCAACACGACCCAGAAAACGAAAGAUCUAAAAGACUUCCCCGUCGUAUGCGAUUUCCCCGACAUCUUUCCAGAGGAGCUCCUAGGUUUACCUCCCAAACGUCAGGUUGAGUUCAGAACCAACCUAAUCCCAGGGGCUACCCCCGUAGCUAAAUCACCCUAUCGUCUAGCGCCUGCUAAGAUGCAAGAACUGUCCGGUCAACUUAAUGAGCUGCUCAGCAAGGGCUUUAUAAGACCAAGCUUCUCACCCUGGGGAGCACCGGUCUUGUUCGUAAAGAAGAAGGAUGGAUCAUUCCGUAUGUGCAUCGAUUAUAGAGAACUCAACAAGCUGACAGUCAAAAAUCGCUACCCACUUCCCCAUAUAGACGACCUAUUCGACCAACUGCAAGGGGCGAGUGACUUUUCCAAGAUUGAUCUUAGGUCCGGGUACCACCAGUUACGGGUGCUUGAGGAGGAUGUUCCACAAACAGCCUUCCGAACUCGUUACGGACACUACGAGCUCGUAGUAAUGUCGUUCAGACCGACCAACGCGCCCGCAGUAUUCAUGGAUUUAAUGAAAAGGGUUUUCCAUCCUUACUUGGAUCAGUUCGUCAUCAUCUUUAUUGAUGACAUACUCAUCUACUCUCGAAGUAAGGAGGACCAUAGUGAUCACCUACGACAAGUCCUAGAAACCGUACGAUCAGAGAAGCUAUAUGCGAAGUUCUCUAAGUGCGAAUUCUGGAUCCGAAGAGUCGAAUUCUUAGGACACGUGGUUAGCAAGGAAGGAAUCCACGUGGACCCAUCCAAGAUUAAAGAUAUCGAGAACUGGUCAGCACCAAAGACGCCUACAAAAAUUCGUCAAUUUCUAGGCCUCGCUGGCUACUACCACAGAUUCAUUCAGAAAUUCUGUAUGAUCGUGAAACCCCUUACCGCAUUGACCCAGAAAGGCGUGAAAUUUGACUGGGGAGAGAAACAGGAGAAGUCAUUCCAAACCCUAAAAUGCCCCUUAUGCACCGCACCAAUACUCUCCCUCCCUGAAGGGACAGAAGAUUUCGUGGUAUACUGCGAUGCAUCAAACCAGGGGCUUGGUUGUGUUCUGAUGCAACGAGGUAAGGUCAUUGCCUAUGCCUCAAGAAAGCGAAAGACACAUGAGGUCAACUACACCAUGCACGAACUCGAAUUAGGAGCGGUUGUGAUCGCCCUAAAGAUCUGGAGACAUUAUCUGUACGGUACGAAGAGCACGAUAUACACCGACCACAAAAGUCUACAACACAUAUUCAAACAGAAGGAUCUCAACAUUAGACAACGAUGGUGCGUCAAGCUACUGAAUGAUUAUGAAUGCAAAAUUCGCUACCAUCCAGGUACAACCAAUGUGGUAGCGGACGCCCUAAGCCGGAAAUAACAUUCUGGUCGAAGAGUCAAGUCGUUACAAUGACUAUCCAUUCGCAUCUCUCCGCACAUAUUAAGGAAUCUCAACUCGAAGGGUUGAAGCCUGAAAAUGUGACGGGAGAAUCCCUACAAGGAAUGGAUAAGAACUUCGAGGUCAAGAGUGAUGGAGCCUUGUAUCUCAUGGACCGAAUCUGGACACCGCGUCACGGUGGUUUCAGAGACUUGGUCAUGAAGGAAGCACACAACACUUGAUAUUCCGUCCACCCGGGUUUAGAUAAGAUGUAUCUGGAUCUUAAAAAGUCAUACUGGUGGCCUAACAUGAAAGCAGAGAUUGCUACCAUCGUGAGUAAAUGCCUUACUUACGCGAAGGUCAAUGUCGAAUACCAGAAGCCAUCAGGUCUACUACAGCAACUGGAGAUACCUGAAUGGAAGUGGGAGCGAAUCACUAUGGAUUUCAUAACCAAGCUACCCAAGACAACAGGUGGGCUUGAUACCAUAUGGGUCAUCAUCGACAGAUUAACCAAGUCCGCGCACUUCCUACCCAUCAAAGAGAAAGAUAAGAUGGAGAAGCUCACAAGAACAUACAUUAAGGAAAUCGUACGACUGCAUGGUGUCCCUAUAUCUAUAAUCUUCGAUAGAGAUAAUAGGUUCACUUCGAGAUUUUGGCAAUGACUGCAAAACGCAUUAGGGAUGAGGCUGGACAUGAGUACAGCCUACCAUGCACAGACCAACGGACAAAGUGAGAGAACUAUCCAAACCCUGGAAGAUAUGCUGCGAGCCUGUGUGAUCGACUUUGGUAAGGCAUGGGAUACCCACUUACCCCUUGUCGAGUUUUCCUACAACAACAGCUAUCACACGAGCAUAAAGGCAGCCCCAUUCAAAGCCCUCUACGGCCGAAAGUGCAGAUCGCCUAUGUGUUGGGCUGAGGUGGGUGACACUCAGUUAGCUAAUGGAAGAGUUCCUGACAGCGCUCUCACGGGUCCGGAAAUCAUUCGAGAAACGACUGAGAAGAUCGUAGAAAUUUGCGAACGAUUAAAAGCCGCUAUAGAUCGAUAGAAAAGCUACGCAAAUAAACGAAGAAAACCCUUGGAAUUCCAUGUGGGAGACCGAGUCCUUUUAAAAGUCUCACCCUGGAAAGGAACGAUACGCUUUGGAAUGCGGGGAAAGCUGAAUCCAAGGUACAUAGGGCCCUUCGAGAUUCUCGCUAGAAUCGGCCCCGUAGCUUACAAACUUAACCUACCCCAGGAACUCAGUAACAUACACCCUACCUUCCACGUCUCGAACUUGAAUAACUGCCUAUCCGACGAGACUCUCUUAAUCCCACUCGACGAGAUCGAGGUCAAUGAGAGCCUCAACUUCGUGGAAGAGCCUGCGGAGAUCAUGGACCGAGAGGCCAAACGAACGAAACUAAGCCGCAUCCCAAUUGUGAAGGUUCGCUGGAACGCUAAACGAGGACCGGAGUUCACUUGGGAGCGCGAGGAUCAAAUGAAACUCAAUUAUCCCCAUCUCUUUGCUUAGUUGUAUUGUAAUAACUUAGCUGCUUAAAUUCUAAAUUUCAGGACGAAAUUUCCUCUAACGGGGGGAUGAUGUGACAACUCGAAAUUCAUUCCGUUGCGGUAUCCCAUUUCCGUUAAUAGAAUACUUUAUUUUAUUAUUAUUAUUAAGAUUUCCCUUAAAAUUUGGGUUAGACAAAUCAACUAAUGAUUUAUAUUAUUUUAGUGUCAAAAUGAAAUAAAUUAAAACACGAGUAAUACCCUCAAAGUUAUUUGGGAAAAAAUUUUAGUUUACAACUAAGCCGGGUUACGACCAUUUAAUCGGGUAAAAAUUUAAUUUCCGUUUAAUGUCGGUAUGGAGUGGAUCCCCACCUGGCCACCAACUCAAGCCUUAUAUAAGGGUUGAGUGGUCACCAACUUAAAGUUUUUACCACUCUAGUUACUCUCUCUCUACUCUCUCUCUCUCUCUUUCUCUCUUCAAGGCCCGAUUCUUCCAAAAAUCCGCAAGUUUCCGCUCCCAAACUGUAAGUUCUCUUACCCUAGAUUGUUCUAAAGCUCAUUACAUGUCAAUAUAGCUUGAAAAUCAUCCAUGGAGGCCAAGAACAAGGAGUUUACGGCCCAAGAACCCUCUUAGGCCGUAAACCCCUAAAAGGGUGCCACAAUGCCCCAAAUUCCUUCAUUAGGCUUAGAGCCUAACUUAGAACUUGCCCUUGAAGUGUUUUAGACAUUAAACAUUAUGCUUAGAGGCUUGAAAGAGGGUUUACGGCCCAGGAACACUCUUAGGCCGUAAACUCCCUCUAAUUAUGCAAAUUGAGCCUUAAACCUCCUAUUUAGCCAUGGACCUUCACUUAGAAACUAGUAGGGGUGAGCUAAGGACCUCAAAAUUGAAGUACAAGGGGUUUCCAAGAGUUUACGGCUAUAAACCAUGGGGUUCACGACCGUAAACUCCCAAGGAGUGGUCCUAGGACUGCAAACUCCAAGGGAGUGCCCCCUUUUAACCCUAAACACCCCUCAAGCCAUGGAUUAAACCCUAGAACUCUUCCUUGUGAUGUAAGAAACCCUUAAGCACUCAAAUGCACUCCUCCCAUGAGUUUACGGCUGUAAACUCAUGGGGGGAUUGGUCCCUCCACCGUAAACUCACCUAGGGUGAGUAUUUGAGGAGUAAACUCCAUAGUGAGGCCUUACACUCCUUCCUUUCAACCUAAUGGCCUCCUAACACUUGACCAAAGCGUUUUUCUUCACAUUAGGAUGUCUAUACUUGUUUAAUUAGUGUUUAGUCACUAAUUAUAUGUAAACAUAUGUCUUCAUAUGUUUCUAGGGUCCUAGUGUGUGUUCAAGUCUUCACUUGACACCUAGCAUCCUACCCGACAUUCUAUCCACUCCACUCGUUGCAGGUUAGUUCAUACCCCUUAAUUAACCUUUCUAAUGUUUCUUUUAAAUUUUUUAGGGGGGCAAUACAAGUUAAAUACAAUAAGUUAUUGUAUUAAAUCAUAUGUGAAUUAUAACUUGAAAUCAAAGAGGAUUUUUCUAUAGUUUUAGCUACUUGUCAACAAAACUGUUUUAAAUAAUUAUCAACGCAUUUUCAAUGUUAAAUUGAUGUUAAACUAUUUUCAAACUGUUUUUAAACUACUUUUCUUUUAAACUAUAUCUACACCAAUAUAUUUAUAUAAGUAAGACUUGAAGGACUUAGGACCGAUAGCUCGCCUUACUUCCUGUUCUUGUUUGAUUGGGGUCUUAUGGUAUACUGUUAUCCGUCCGACUGUCGUUGAAUUCUUAGUUAUAUAUCAUAUAUAUUUGUGUUCGAUACAAAAGUCUUCAUCUUAUUCAUUACCUUUGUAAAUCAAAGGCAUUCAAUUCCACACUUUAUUUAACUAUAAUAGGUAUAGUUAAGACUACUGCUCAUUUCCUCUAUCACUAUGAUACUCACUAUAAUUGCUAUUAUUACAAGUUAGUGCACAUUAAAGAGAACACUCUAUAUACUAUACUAAAAAGUUCAUUAUACUAUAAUAGAAGAGAAUACAAUAAUCCAGAAUAUGACACACUAUUCCUCUAUACGACACUCUACUGUGCAAACACCGUGUAACCAGAGCUUCCCGAAGGGGAAGCUGAUGGGUUUUAGCCAUAUGAACAUUCCUGUGUGCACAUGCAACCCUAAUGCUUGGAUCUAGGUUUUUCUAAUUGAAUAUGCAUUCAAUCCAAGACUUCUAAUGGCUAAUAUAGUAUAAUAACAAUAUGAAAUCAGAGAUUAGAAGUUUACCUUGAAUCACUUGCUUGAUCUUCUUGUCCUUGAGGCUUUAGAGUCAUAAUUGUCACUCCUCUAAUGGCUUACAAACACCAACUAGCAAGAAGAUGAUUUAGGAGAGAGAAGAGAGGAUCAAAUCGGCCAGGGAUUCUUCUCAAAGCACAAGUCACCAAAUCCCUUAGCCUUUGGGGUCUAUUUAUACUUGUAAGGCUCCUAGGGUUUUACCCUUAAACCCUAAUUGGAUAACUUAAGCCCUAAGCAAUCCAAAUCCUUUCCAUGAUAAGCCUUGGACGAUUUUAUGGCUAUCCUUAGCCCUAGAAAUCGUCCACCUCUUAUCCUUAAAGGAUUAAUAGCCCAAAGUGUAACUAUAAAACAAUUGACAGUUUAUACCCGUUUAUUUAAUUAAUCUCUUUAAGUCACCAAAUUAUUUCCUAAUUAAUUUAUGACUUAUAUUAAUCAAAUAAUAAUAUUAUUAUUCUUUAUAUUAUUCUCAUAAUAUAUUAAUAAUAUUCUUUCUCUCAUAAUAAAUCAUCCUAUCAAGUUGCUAUGGUGAAGGCAACCCAAAAGGACCAUGCACAACCGGGUCAAAUACUUGCCUAAUAUAGUUGCAGCCUUAGACACUAUUCCAACAGUCUUCCACUUGGAUAAGUCUAGUAACUAUAUGCUCAAGUACAAUCCGAUUUGCAAUCGUAGCUCUCAAAGACGCUGUCAAACUCUGAUCUAAUCAAUCNNNNNNNNNNNNNNNNNNNNNNNNNNNNNNNNNNNNNNNNNNNNNNNNNNNNNNNNNNNNNNNNNNNNNNNNNNNNNNNNNNNNNNNNNNNNNNNNNNNNNNNNNNNNNNNNNNNNNNNNNNNNNNNNNNNNNNNNNNNNNNNNNNNNNNNNNNNNNNNNNNNNNNNNNNNNNNNNNNNNNNNNNNNNNNNNNNNNNNNNNNNNNNNNNNNNNNNNNNNNNNNNNNNNNNNNNNNNNNNNNNNNNNNNNNNNNNNNNNNNNNNNNNNNNNNNNNNNNNNNNNNNNNNNNNNNNNNNNNNNNNNNNNNNNNNNNNNNNNNNNNNNNNNNNNNNNNNNNNNNNNNNNNNNNNNNNNNNNNNNNNNNNNNNNNNNNNNNNNNNNNNNNNNNNNNNNNNNNNNNNNNNNNNNNNNNNNNNNNNNNNNNNNNNNNNNNNNNNNNNNNNNNNNNNNNNNNNNNNNNNNNNNNNNNNNNNNNNNNNNNNNNNNNNNNNNNNNNNNNNNNNNNNNNNNNNNNNNNNNNNNNNNNNNNNNNNNNNNNNNNNNNNNNNNNNNNNNNNNNNNNNNNNNNNNNNNNNNNNNNNNNNNNNNNNNNNNNNNNNNNNNNNNNNNNNNNNNNNNNNNNNNNNNNNNNNNNNNNNNNNNNNNNNNNNNNNNNNNNNNNNNNNNNNNNNNNNNNNNNNNNNNNNNNNNNNNNNNNNNNNNNNNNNNNNNNNNNNNNNNNNNNNNNNNNNNNNNNNNNNNNNNNNNNNNNNNNNNNNNNNNNNNNNNNNNNNNNNNNNNNNNNNNNNNNNNNNNNNNNNNNNNNNNNNNNNNNNNNNNNNNNNNNNNNNNNNNNNNNNNNNNNNNNNNNNNNNNNNNNNNNNNNNNNNNNNNNNNNNNNNNNNNNNNNNNNNNNNNNNNNNNNNNNNNNNNNNNNNNNNNNNNNNNNNNNNNNNNNNNNNNNNNNNNNNNNNNNNNNNNNNNNNNNNNNNNNNNNNNNNNNNNNNNNNNNNNNNNNNNNNNNNNNNNNNNNNNNNNNNNNNNNNNNNNNNNNNNNNNNNNNNNNNNNNNNNNNNNNNNNNNNNNNNNNNNNNNNNNNNNNNNNNNNNNNNNNNNNNNNNNNNNNNNNNNNNNNNNNNNNNNNNNNNNNNNNNNNNNNNNNNNNNNNNNNNNNNNNNNNNNNNNNNNNNNNNNNNNNNNNNNNNNNNNNNNNNNNNNNNNNNNNNNNNNNNNNNNNNNNNNNNNNNNNNNNNNNNNNNNNNNNNNNNNNNNNNNGAUUUUAUGGCUAUCCUUAGCCCUAGAAAUCGUCCACCCCUUAUCCAUAAAGGAUAUAUAGCCCAAAGUGCAACUAUCAAACAAUUGACAGUUUAUACCCCUUUAUUUAAUUAAUCUCUUUAAGUCACCAAAUUAAUUCCUAAUUAAUUUAUGACUUAUAUUAAUCAAAUAAUAAUAUUAUUAUUCUUUAUAUUAUUCUCAUAAUAUAUUAAUAAUAUUCUUUCUCUCAUAAUAAAUCAUCAUGUCAAGUUGCUAUGGUGAAGGCAACGCAAAAGGACCAUGCACAACCGGGUCAGAUACUUGCCUAAUAUAGUUGCAGCCUUAGACACUAUUCCAACAGAGCCAACCACUACAUGUAUAGAUCUAUACAGGAUAGACACUAUUACAUCCCGACUGCUAACUACAGUCUUAGCCGACUAGGCCCAGGGGUGACGAAACAUCACUACACUACGUAUGACCGGGAAGGUCAUCGGACACUCUACUAUCACUAAGAUUGGUUACAUGAGAAAUCACAUUCGUACCCAAAUUAACACACUAAGAAUUAAAGGCUAAACUAACUUCCCAAAGUGAGUGUAUAUACAUAUAUUACUAAACUGAAGCUUGCAACACUACUGUAUCCAGCCGGCAGUAAAAUUGCUAAAAUAAGAUAUUAUCUUUCCUCAUUUACUUUACAUGACUGAAAUCCAUAAUCUUAUUUUCAUGAUUAACAGUCUCAAUGGAAAGAUUUUACACACUCAAAGGAUCAAACUUACAAAUAUGCAAAUCUGGAAAAUAUAGGAUUUUCAAGGGAUUUUACUAUUUUCAAACAUUAAUCACAGCUUUUAUAUUACAUGAUUGUGAACACUUUUAUACAAACAACGACACUAAGUUCUUAUGAACUCACCGGCUUUAUGCUGAUACUCGUUUUCAAAAUAACUUGUAUUCUCGGGUCAAAAAUUGACAGGUACUGAUGCAGCCUUUUGAGAAGAUGGAGCAUAUACAAGACCCAUCUUUUAUUUUUGUUUAUACUUUUGGUGUCUAUCAAAACUAUACAGAACACGCUUGUAUUUACAAUCAGUAUAUUAAUGCAAUGGUUGUUGUCGCUUGUUUUUACUAUUAUGCAUUAUUAUGAUACUAUACAUGACGUCCUCCACCCCAGAACGAAUUCCUCCGUUCUCGGUUUUGGGGUGUGACACUAUCACCCACAAACUGACGGGCAAAGUGAGAGCACCAUACAGACGCUAGAAGACAUGCUUAGGGCAUGUGUGAUAGACUUUGGUAAAGCUUGGGAUACCCAUUUACCACUUGUCGAAUUCUACUGUGAUAUCACUUUUUAAUCAAGUCAAAGUCAAAUAAAGUCUACAAGUCAAACUGGUCAACUCAAUUAACCCUUGUAUAUUAGGGUUUAAAUUAUGCUUAUGAUUCUACAACUCAUUAUCUUAAUGAAAAGUAUCACUUUGAGUUAUCACAUGUUCAGAAAAUUUAAGGCCUAAUCAGGGUAAAUGAUGUAACUACUCGAUAAAAUACUAUUACAUACCCUUCGGGGGCGUAUAACACUCAUAACAAGGAUUAUCGGGGCUUGCGAACCUUGCAUUUCGAGGCUAAACACUCACAAAUGUCACAAAUAAAGUCUCUCUAAAUAUCUCUCACUCUAUCUCUCUCUCUCACAAAUAUCUCCCAAAUCUCUCUCAAAAUCUCCUUCAACUUUUUAUAAUCAUUCGGGGCAUCCCGACCCAUAACUUAGUCAAAAAUGAAUCGAAACGGAAGGACUACUCGAAAAACAGCCAUCUAGGUCCGAAACCCCUAUAUAAGCCGAAGCCUCCGUCUAAAAAUGAAAAUUGGCCUUAAUUUAUGAUGGUUGUAUUUACUUUGAGCACUAUUAUAUUCUUGUUGUGAUACUAUACAUGAAGUCUGCCACCCCCGGACAUUUCUGCCAUCUUUGGUUUGGGGGUGUGACAAUUACCGGCAGUUGAACAAGUUAACGGUGCAGAACCGUUUUUCCUUUCCGCGAAUUGAUGACCUCUUUGAACAGUUUCAGGGUGCAUUUUGGUUCUCCAAGAUAGAUCUAAGGUCUGGGUAUCAUCAGGUGAGAGUAAUAGAGGAGGAAGUGGAGAAGAGCACGUUCCGCACUCAUUAUGGGCAUUACAAGUAUGUGGUGAUGCCAUUUGGGCUCACCAAUGCACCUGUUUUCUUUAUGGAUUUGAUUAAUCAGGUAUGCAGGCCGGUGCUCAUCAAAUCUGUUAUCGUAUUGAUUCAUGAUAUCUUGGUGUAUUGUGUCACACCCCCGAACCAAACGGCGGAAACGUCCGGGGGCUGUCGUGACUUUAUUGAAUACCAUAACAUUGAAUAUAUAUGAAACAUAACAUCAUUCAUCACCAUGCAUUAAUAUAGUACAACUGAUAAAGUUUACACUGAGUACAUUGUCUUAGCAUUACAUUCCCAAAAAAAAAAUUUAUUCGGUUCAUAGAUAAACUAACUGCAAGCCAUCACUGAGUACAUUUUUCCUUCGGUUUACUAGUUACCUGAGAAUACAAGUAUUUUGAAAAACGUCAACAUAUGAAAUGUUGGUGAGUUCAUAAGCGGUAUUUGAAAAAAAACAACGUUUUGUAUUGCUUUGAAAAACUACCAGAAAAUCUGAUAUUUUCUGAAAAGAGUUUAUGAAAAGUUUGUGAAGAUCCAUAAGUAUGCUUGUUUGUUUCUAUAGUUGUAAAAAAAAAAAUUGUUUAUUAAACUUGUAUACAUUUCGAAACCGUAUGUACUGAAAAACCCUAGGAAAACCCGAUGUUUUCCUAACACUUUGAAUUCCAUGUAGUUGUUGUACCAUCGCGGCGUGUGAAGUCAUUGAUUCCAGGCGACGUCGGAUUAUUGCGCAUGGUGAAUUGCUAUAAACACGCGUUACGCAAACGAUUAGUUUACAACUAUACUAACGAUCCCGUAGGCGUCGUCCGUACUAUUCACGUAAUCCAACCGCCCUGACUUCUUGUAGUCCCACAUCCGAAGAGAAAGAGGGCACGAAGACCUCGAUAACUCCGUUAGUCGGUUGGGGAUAAAAAGAGUGCGAAGGGCCCUUGACCCGACUCGCAUUAGAAUAACCGACUUUACUAGCAGUACCAAAGGACCCUUGGGGACCAAUAGUAUAAAAGCCAUUGAAAGUCCUUUUACGCUGUGUUGGAUCAUGUAAGACCCAACAACUCGUAAGGUUGAAGUCUUCGGGCCUAAAGAUCAGGUCAUUGGGCUAGCUAGGCCCAACAAACAAGAUUUUACACUUUGGGGCCCAAAGAUGGUGCGUCGACGUCUGUGCACUCUCACGUGUGUAUUGAAUUCCCAAAUGUUACUUGUAUGAAUCGAGUUAUCGUCGUGUUAGUAGUUUCGGGUUGUUAUUGAUUCGAGACCGAAUCAAUUCGUUUAACAACGAUUUUUGGUAUUGUUGUGUAUUGUAUUUCGUCGGUAGUCGCGGUGCCAAUAUUUGAUCACGAUGGGUGUAUUGAAUUAGCCUUGAAAAUUUUCUGUUUUCAGCCCCUCUUUAUUUUGUAAAUUUACUUUUUCAACCCUUUGCAUAAAUAAAUUUCCGGUUUAGUCCUUAAACUAUUUUUCUUGGCAUUUUAACAUCAAAACUUAUUGGAAUUGAUAUUUUUCAGCACAUUUUUAGUUGAAAACAGUUUUAGUCCCUGAAAAUACAGUUUUCUCGGUUGUAACCCCUCUUUUUCGCAGUUUUUACAAUUUUGGCCCAAAUUGGAAAAUUUUUGCAACUUUGGUCCUUUUUAAAUUUGAAAAGCAUUUUAAACCUUAGAAAAGGACUUGGAACACUAGUAGUCCACUGUUUUACAGAAAAACACAGUUUUGGCCCUUCAAAACAGAAAAUUUCGCAUAUUGGGCCCUAUUGGGCCAAAAAUGCCAUUUUUAGCCCAUUAAGCUUGAAAUUUAUAUUUUUAAUCCUCCAAAAGAAUGUAUUUCCAGAAAACACUUUAUUGAAACUGUUUUGACUCAUCUCACCCAUCAGAAUUCGUAAUAUGUCAUUUUGGGCCCUUUAACUUUAUAUUUUUAACAUUUUGUGUCCAAAAAUUGAGUUUUUAGCCCAAGGAAGAUGUUAUUAAGCCACUUAGCUAUUUUUCUUGAAAUACUUUGUAUGUAGAAAUAUAAUUGAUGCUAGUAUCAUUUAACAUAAAGUAUAUCUCGAUUUUUAGGGGCUUAUGACUAGAUCCAACAUCAUAAUCACACAAAAACACACAUAUAAGCAUAGAAAUCAUACAAGGCAUACAAAAUACAUAUAGAUCUACACUUUCACUUGUAUUCCCCCCCCCCAUAAAACUUAUAAAACAGAAAAAUAGGGAGUAUGAAGCUCACCUUAGGGUGUAGUUUCGGUUUUUGAAGAAAAGAUGGAAGAAAACUUGGUGAUUUUUGGCCCUAGCUCCCCUUGAUGAAGAUCUCGAGUUUAUGGAGUUUUCUAGGAUGUAAGAUCACGAUUUUUGCAUGGAUUAGGAAGAGAUUUUUGAUAAAACAAAGAAUCUAAGUCAUGGAUCCAAGCAUAACCUUACCUUAGAUGAAGAGUUUGUGGAAAUAUCCUCUUGAAAACCUCCUAAUUUUCGAGAUUUUUGAAUGGAGAGGAAGGAUGAUUUCUUGAGUAAUCUAGAGAGAGUUUGUGAGGUGUGUGUGUGUGGGUUAUUCUCGGCCGAAACAAGAAGGGAGAGGGAGAGAGAGAAGAAGAGACCUUGAGGUGAUGUUUGCAUGGAAGAAUGAGAAUACAUGGAUGUUUGAAGGGUAAUACUUAGAUAUACACCAUGCAAAGAUGAUGUGUCAUGCAAGAAGUCAACUCCUCCCUUUUAUUUGGGCUUGGGCCGAGAAUGGUGGGGGAAAAGAGAAUGUUUGGGCCUUAAAUGCUUAAGCCCAAUUUUCAUGGUUAUGUUGAGUGAUUUUUGGUCCAAAUAAAUAUAAAGGUGAUUUUUAUGAAUUGUUAGGGAUAAAUUAGGUUAAUUAUGGUUCAUAGUUAUUAAUUUAUUUCAUUCUAGGCCCAAUGUAGCCCAAAAUGUUGAAAUAAUUGGAUGUGGGUCCAAUUAGAGCCCAUUUAAGGGUUCUAAGCCCAUGAUAGUCAAAUUGGAAGCUUAUUGGGCCAUUGAGUCCAAUAAGGAAGUCCUAGCCCAAAAUGGACCUAAACAAGAACUUCUAGGGUGUCCAAUUGCUUAAUGACUAUUUGUAGUAUUUGUAUGAUGUACUGAUUGAAGUUUUUGAUGCCAUAAUAAUAGGUAUCACACAUGUUCUUAAGUUUUUGAUUCAACAUUUUACUUAAGUAUUGUGAUUACAAGACACAAAAUUUCUAGUUGUGACAUAUUACCAGUCCAAAGAGCAGCAAGAGGAGCACCUUCAAGAGCUUUUACGAGUUUUGAGCGGGAGCAACUUUAUGCCAAGUUCUCGAACUACGAGUUUUGGCUUUGAGAGGUCCAGUUCCUGGGGCACCUCGUUAACCAGGGGCACCUAGUUAACCAGGAUGGGAUUUUUGUCGAUCCUUCCAAGAUUGAGGUUGUGAUGCAGUGGGAGGUUCCCAAAUCUCCCUUAGAAAUCAGGAGUUUCUGGGGUUUGGUAGGGUACCAUCAGAUAUUAAUUUAGUACAUCUCCAAGAUUGCGGUACCCCUCACUCAUCUGACGUGGAAGGGGGUGGAUUUCCGAUGGGGCCCUAAGUAGUUAUCAUCGUUUGAGACUCCUCAACAGAGGUUAUCUAAGGCCCCGGUAUUGAUCCUCCCAGAGGAGAUUGAGGAUUCUGUGCUAUUCUGUGAUGCAUCAAUAACCGUUUUGGGGUGGUCCUCAUGCAGAGAGGACGAGCGACAGCUGAAACCGCAUGAGACACGAUAUCCCACGCAUGACCUAGAGUUAGGGGAAGUGGUUUUUUCCAUCAAGAUUUAGGGACAUUAUCUUUAUGGGGUCCGUUGUAAGGUCUACACGAAUCACAAGAGUUUGAGAUAUCUUAUGGUAAGCUGAACCUGAACAUGAGGCAGCGCAAGUGGCUGGAUGUGGUAAAGGAUUAUGACUAUGAGAUCCUUUACCAUCCUAGUAAUGAAAAUGUGGUAACAAAUGCUUUGUGCCGCAAGUCGGUUGGGUCUUCGGUUGGGGAGACAUGUAUGAUGAUAUCUGUUGAUGCUACGCUAUUGGGAUUGAUCAGAGAGGCUCAGGAAGAGGGAGUUUGGAAAGAGAACUUGAAACGGGAAAGGAUCAAGGGUGAGAUUGAGCAGUUUGCUAUUGAUAGUCGAGGGUUAUUGACUCGUUGUGGUCGGCUUUAGGUUCUAGUUUCUGAUGGGAUUAGGCAGAUAGUGUUAUAUUAGGCUCAUAAGUCUUGCUUUUCUAUACACCCAAGAGCCACCAAGAUGUAUGGGGAUUUGAGAUUAAGCUACUGGUGUUCGUGUAUGUACAGGGAGACAACCUAGUAUGUUGAGAGGUGUUUUUCCUGCAGGAUGGUCAAGGCCGAGAAUUAGAGGCCGCAUGGAAAGCUGCAACCUCUAGAGGUUCCCAUAUGGAAGUGGGAACAGUUCACCAUGGACUUUAUCACCAGGUUUCCAAAAACGGCAAAGGGUUUUGAUGCUAUAUGGGUCAUCGUGGAUCGAUGACGAAGAGUGCCCACUUUUUGGCUAUCUGGGAGAGUUAGUCGGACGAAAAGUUGGCUGAUAUUUAUGUCGGGGAGAUCAUUGCUUUUCAUGGGGUUCUAUUUUCCAUUGUUUUUGACCGAGAUGUUCCGUGCACUUCCUGAUUCUGGCAGAAGUUCCUCGGGGAAUUGGGCAUGAGGUUAUUUCAACACUGCAUAUCAUCUGCGGACCGACUGCCAUAGUGAGCAGGCUAUACAGACCCUUGAGGAUAUGUUGCGGGCCUAUGUUAUUGAUUUUGGUAGGAGUUGGGAUUCAUACGUACCUCUUGUAGAGUUCUCCUACAACAAUAGUUAGCACUCCAGUAUUGGUGUCUGCCAUUUGAACUCUUUUAUGGUCGGAGAUGUCGUACCCCAGUUUCUUAGGGAGAGGUUGGUCAUAGGAUCCGGGGAAGGACCAAAUUAGUCCUUCAGACCACAGAGCUUAUCCAACAGACUUGGCAGAGACUGCAGACCACUCAAAGUCGGAAGAAGAGUUAUGCCGACCAAUUCCAAUCAUGGAUGGAAUUCCAGGUCGGUGAUAUGGUGCUCCAGAAGGUCUCGCCUUAGAAGGGUGUGAUACACUUCAGGAAGAGGGAGAAAUUGGGUUCCGAUAUAUUGGACCUUUUUGGGUGAUUGUCAGGGUUGACAAGGUAGCUUACAGGUUGGAUUCGUCGAGCAAGCUCAUAUAGACCCACAACACUUUCCAUGUUUCUCUGUUGCGGAAGUGUGUGUUGGACAACGAGGCAGUGAUUCCGUCGAAUUAUAUUCAGGUCGAUGAGAAUCUGAACUAUGUUGAGAGACCGAUCGCUAUUCUGGAAAAGAAGAUCAAGGUCCUACUUAGCAACGGGAUACCUUCGGUAAAGGUAUAGUGGCAGCAAUAGAGAGGCUUCAAGUGGACUUAAGAGCUGGAGGAUGAGAUGCAGGAGCAUUAUCCUAAGCUAUUCGCUACGGCAGACAUCAAGGACGAAGUCUAGUUUAUGUGGGGGAUAAUUGUAACAUUCUUAUGAUAAGGUACUUCUAUUUUUAACCCUAUGAGUUAACUAUGUUUCAUUUUGGUCCCUAAGUUGAAUAAAGUGUGCAAAAGGGCCCUAGUGUCAUUUUCCUAAAAAUAACCUUGUGGGAGUACCCCAUGCAUACGCGUUUACAAUGAGCGUACUAGAGUAUGCCCUAGUAUGCUGAGCAUAUAUCUUGUAAGCGGGGCGUACUUUCCAGAUAUGAAAACCCUAAUUUUUAGGGUUUAGCUCGAAUGUAAACCCCAUUAUAGCCUCAUUUCCCCUCACCUCAUCAUCCACCUUACUCUUAGAUCGUUCUUGAAACCAUAAUUUGCCUUAUCGUGCCAUUCCAAGCUUAAGAGUGUGUGUUUUGUGCUUUAAGGAAGAAGGAAGGCAGUAAAGCUCACCUUGGAGGAGUGAAGCACUUUGGAUCUGGGAUUUGUACCUUCUUGGCAACCUUUUUAGGGUAUGAAGCUUGAAACUUUAUCCCUCCAUCAUAUAGGUCUAGAAAUGGGUGUUUUAAUGAUGUUGUUUGGUCCAAAAUGUUAAAUCUUGAGCAUGACAUGUUCUUUAUUCAUUAUGUGUAUUCUCAGACGUUAAUAUUGGACUUAAGUCAUAGAGAUGGAGUCCUAAUGGUUGGUUUUGGUCCCAUGCAUGUCGUUGAGAGUCUUAAGUCAUUAAGAUGUUGGGUUUUCAUGGGUUAAGCACUUAUUGAGCAUGCAAGGUCAUAAAUUUGGAAACUUUAUGACUACUAAUGAUAUUUUGACCUUGCAUUUGUAUUUAGAUGUGUUAAGUCGUUAUAUUAAGCACUUAAUCCCAAAAAGUAGAAGUAUGGGGUUACGUUGAGCGUACCUUGGAGUACACCCAUCAUAGGCAGUUAAUGACCACGAUAUGGUCAAACAGAGGAGUACGCCCAAUGUACCUCAAGAGUAUGCCCCGCUUACUCACUCUGAGUUGACUCGGCUGGGUUGAGUCAGUUGAUUGGACCAGUUUGGCUUUGACUUUGACCAAGUUUGACCUUAAGGGUUUUUUAGGUAUAUUAGGAUUUUGAUUGAGAUUGGUCAUUUGGUUGGAAUAGGUGUCAGUUAGAGUUGAGAUUCGGAGUCGAGACCUCAUCAUCUUUUGCCUAGUCUGUGAGGUGAGUUUUCCUCACUGUACUUUCGGGUCGAAGGCACCAAGGUCGGCCCGUUGGUUUGAUAUCCUGAUAUAUACACUUAUAUCCUUAUUAUGGAAUAGAUACAUAUGCUUAUGCUAGAUGCUGAUAUGGUAUUCUGGUAUAUCUGUAGGACUACCUGUGUUUCUGUCAACAUAAUUAUUUGUAUAUGUUUGUUAUCUAUUAUAUAUGUCGACAUGUUGUGGUGGGUUAAGGUUGUACUGCUUCGUGUGGUAGCCAGCAAACCCUAGAGCAUUCCACAUAUAAGUUGAGGGCCUGGUAGGGCAUUCCAAACUUAUUGUAACAUCCGGAAUCUAGAAGGUUAAUUAUGGAAAUAAAACCUCAUUUCUAAAGGCCAACUCGUCGAGUUUGGGGGAAGAAACUCGACCUGUUGUAAGUGUUGGUCACACGUGUUUUUGAAGACCAACUUGACGAGUUGGAGAGUACCAACUCAACAAGUUUGACGUGGUUUGGGAAACCCUAAUUUCGUUUUUUUACACACUAUCUAAACAACUUAAACCCCAUUUAUUGGCCUCAUUUCCAUCCACCAUUGUCCUAAACCCAAACCUCAAAACCCUAAGGAAUUUUUGAGUGUUAUGAGCCAUUUUGAGUGCUUUUGUGGUGUGUUUGAAGCCAUCGGAAGGAAGGGAAGCUUGGUAAGAGUUGGUGAUACAAGAAGGAGCUGCUUGAUCUCGUAUCCUUGCUUCAUUUCGACAGUUUUCUGGUAAAAAGUCUCAACCUUGCUUUUAUGAAUUCAUAGAUCUCCUUCUUAUUGUUGUUUUUUGAAUGUUUUUGUUCAAAUGGAGUAGUCGUUCGGAGUUGGACGUCUCAUUUGUACAAACCAUUUCAAAUCUAAGGUCUUAGGGAGCUCUUUUGGCAUAAAUGUGCCAACUUUAUGGUCUUAAGGGCUCCAUGCAUCCGUUAAGCCUUUCUUCUAGCUUAUUUUGAGCUUUUGAGCUUCUUCUAUCCUUGCAUAAGAGUAAACUUGGAGACUUUACUCAUUAAUAUAGCCUUAUGGGAACAGAUCUGCAAUUUGAAGCCUUAUCUUGAUGAUUAAGUAGCUUAAUAGAUUAAAUGGGUUUGCUGACUGAAGAACUCGAUAAGUUCAUAAGAGAACUCAGCGAGUUGGUUUGGGAUUGUCUCAAUUCUGAUGAAAAGGAGGGUAAAACUCGACGAGUUGGAUCGAUUCUUCUUCAUUCAGUGGUUUGAUGAGAACUCGGUGAGUUGAAGGACCAACUCAACGAGUUAGGUCACUUGGAACGUUGACUUUGGUGUUGUUAGGGAAGCAGUUAGGGAUUUCUUGCAGUGAGCUUCAACAUUCGAGGUGAGUCUCCUCACUGUGUUUAACGAGUCGAAGGCACCAAUGUCGUGCCAUGCUUAUUUGUUAGGAUGUAGUUGUUUAUGUGACUCUUGCAUGUGUAUGCGUUGAUAUGUAUGUUGGGCGGGGCCAGAUGAUUAUUCCAUAUGCUAGUAUCAGGUUGUGCAUAUAUGAUUUGUAUGCAGGCGGGGACCGAUGAUUGUACACUAUACUAUUGACUCUCCCAUAUCUCAGAUCUCUCAGGUAGUUUGGGCAGCUUCGUCUCCAAUGCCCCUUGUCUUGGGAAUAAAAGAAAAUGGACUCCUUUGGCACAGCACAUGGGGCAAUCUCAUACUUAGUCCUUUCUGUACUUACAAUGUUGCCAGUGUCCAUUGAAGUUUGGGAUUUUGAUUUACCAGACAAAUUUGCUUGACCAGCACACCAAAUCAUUGCUGAUUCAGCAGCUAUAAGCAAAUAGGUGAGAUCAAUGAGGGUCACAUCGUGGUCCAUCAUAUAGUACUCUCUAAUGAACUCACUAUAUCAUUCAGGAAGCGACUGAAGAACCCAGUCAACAGAUAACAUCUCUGAGAUAUUGACACCCAUCAUCAAUAACCUAUCAAUGUGUGACUUCAUCUCUAAGAUGUGUGCACACACAAGUUUCCCAUCUUCGUGUUUACUUGCCAAAAGGGCUUGAGUGAGCUUGAAGUUUUCAAGCUUUCGAACUUGUGGGUUAGGGAGAAUAAUUGGAGGAGGUGGAGGAAGUGAAGCAUGAUCUCUGGUUCCUUGAUCAUAUCGUGGAAUAUCAUCUUCAUUUUGAAAACUUGUUCCAUGGGAUUUGGGAAGACCGUUGUUAGAUUCAGACAUCUACAAAACGGGAUAAAUUCAAGGUAGUUGAUAAUAAUCCUUGAUGUAACACCCAAAUGAAACAUCAAGGCUAGGAUCCAACACAAUACUCUACAACCUAGAAGAGGGAUGUCGUAAUCUAGUUUGCAGAAGAUUUGAAGGUAGGUAAAUGACGAUUUACCAAUUUCCACCAUGAAAAACAAACAAAAAAAUUGAAGUUUAAGUUUUAAAUGAAUUGAAACUCCUAGAUCUUUUGAGAUUCAUUGAAAUUUUCAAUGGCAUGUUUAAUCUCGAUUAUGCCCUACUAUUUGCGACUGGGAUGCCGAGGAUCACAAACAAUGUGUGACUAACCAUGCGAAUCACAUGGUGCACUCAAUGCUACUAUCACCUAAUCAAUGUGCCGAUUAGCCACGUAUGCUCCAUUGAUCUAUGAUAAACAUCGAGUCACCCUUCGCUACCAAUGUCAAACCGAAAUUAGUGUGCCGGUUAACCACACACGCUCCACUAAUGUCUCGGCAAGGGUACAAAGUGUCAUUCCAUGGAUUAGCAUACAAUUUCACAUUUUGCCUAAAGUAACUAUGAUUUGGGAAUUUGAAAUAAAUUUAGUUACUUUGUACUUCAUUAUACUUAUAAUGGAAGGUUUCUGUCCUAUCCUACCCGUUCGGCUAACGACCCUCAACUAGCCAAGAGUGCGAUGGGUAACAGUGGAUACCCAUUAAAUCGUUAUUUUAUAGGCAAUUCCCUUAAACACCCCUUAUAGACCAGCUUCGUGAAUGAGGCCUACUAACGGUAAAACUGACUCUUUACUCAUAUAUUUAUAUAUAUAUAUAUAUAUAUAAAUAUAUNUUAAAAUACUAGGUGGUUUUAUUAACUUUCUCUUUUAAUUAAAAUUUUAAUUAACUAAACAAAACCAUGUGGGUGUAAUUUGAACUUUUCAAAAUACUGGGGUUUUAGAAUUUAAAUAUUACAUAAUUAAACUAUUAAUCAGAAUUUUAAAUUCCAAAACUUGAGGGCAAGUUUUUUGAAACAUUUCAAAACAUUAGGAUUCAGAAUUUAAAUAUUUCAAAAUUAAACUUUUAAUCAAAAAUUUAAAUUCCAAAGCUUGAGGGCAAGUUUUGAAACUUUUCAAAACAUUUGGGUUUAACUAUUUAAAUUUCAAAGAACAAAACUUUUAAGUUUAAAUUUAAACUAUAAAACUUAAAGAGAGUAAUUUGAAACUAUUCAAAUAAGGCAAUUAUCUAAUUUUGACCUAGUCAAAUAUUUUGCAGGAUAAUUCAUCAAAUAACUCAAAUAAUUAAACAUUAUCGUAUAAGGUAACAUAUAUUUGAUUAAAUGGUAAUUAUCUACAAUUUUGGUAAGGAUAUUCACCCAAAAUCAAUAAAAAUCGGAUUUUAUUAAUUAAAAAAGUUUAUGGUAAGAAACCCAAGCCAAAACAGCAAGAAAAUCGCCGAAAAACGCUGUCAGACCCUCGGACUCGCCGAGUCAGAGAGUGGACUCGCCUAGAUCAUCUACUGACUCGCCGAUUCAGUCAAGUAGAAGGUGCAAAAAACAAUUUUUCAGCCAAUAAACUAUCAAAUAAGCAUCAAUUCACUAACAAACAACCCUAGGCUCAGAUACCACUGAUGGGUUUUGAGCAAUACAUCAAUCCUAUGGUGUACAUGCAAACCCUAAUAGCUUUGGAUCCAGUUUUUCUAAUGAACAUGCAAUUGAUAAUCCAAAGCCAUAAAUCCUAAAUCUAAUAAACUAUAACUAAAAUUAGGGUUUAGAUCUUACCUUUGAUUGUUAUAUAGCAAUAACAAUCAAUCCUUGGCUUCAGAAAGCUUAGUGCCUCAAGUGUUGCACCUCUAAUGGAGUCACAAACACCACUAAGCAACUUGGAUGAAGAGGGAGGAGAGAGGAGACACCAAAAAAGGUUGGAAACCCUAAAGGAACACUUAGCCACGUUUUUGGUUCUCAAGGGUUCUUUAAAUAGGUAGGCAAUUAGGGUUAUCUAACAAGGAAACCUUAAUUUGACUGCUUAAGCCCUAAGAAGCCCAUGGACCUUUUCUGGAACAUGCCUUGGACAAUUUCUAAUGGGCUUCCCCAUAGAAUUCGUCCAACCUAUUAUUACAAGGUGAUCUAUAGCCCAAUUGCAAUUAUCUUAUAAUUACAAUUCUAAUCCCUAAGUUUAAUUAUUCUCUUUUAGCCACAAAGUUAAUUAUUUAUUAAUUCUUGACUAAUAUUAAUUAAACAAUAUGAUUUCUCCUUUAAUAUAUUAUUCUCAUAAUAUAUUAAUAAAUCAUAAUUAAACCUUUUUCUCAUAAUUAAACCCAAAAGGACCAUGCUCAUAAUCGGGUCAAGUACAUACCAAAAUAGUUAUGGACUUAGACACUAAUCCAACAGUAUUUUGGAUGAUUAUGGAUACACUAUGACUUCCUUAUGGCCUUGAUAAACACGUUUGGUUGAUGUUUAUUUUAUAUAGAAACAAAAAAAUUUGGUUCUAAGUUUUUGGGACAUUACAGACCCAUACCUGUUGAAAUCAAGGUUCUAAAUGGCGUGAGCAGUGGCGUGGCGGCAAGGCCAAGCCUCAAGCUUAACGAGUCGUGGCGAGCCAUGGCGUUUUUCAAGGCGUGAUGUAAGGCGGCGAUUUUGUAUUAAUUUAAAAUUAUAUUACCACAUAAAUAUAAAUUUAUAUUAAAUAUAACUACUUUUUAAAAGUGUUAGAUCAAUAACUAAUAACAAAAAGUUAACAAAAACCACAAUACUUGUAUCUCCAAUUUGAAAAGACAUAACAAAUAGCAAAAAACUGUGUCUCAAACGAAAAAACAUGCACCAUAACCCGCCAUAUCACGCCUUGCCACGCGUCACGCCUAACCACAACGUUAUGAAACUUUUUGUAACGGCGAAGCCACGCCUCACGCCAUGGCACGCCUUUGCACGCGCCAUGGCGCGCCUUUUAGAACACUGGUUGAAAUAUACCGAAGAAGUCAGAAGGGACUUAGAGAAACGGAUGGGACUCAGGCGUGAAAUAGACCUGUUACAUGUUUAGCGUGAUAUGUAUGUAUGAUGUAUGUAUGUUAUGUGUGGUAGGUGGUAUUUAGGGGACUCAUUAAGCUUUGUGAUUAAAUUUUAAGUUGUUUCAGGUACUUCUAGUUUGAAAUGGAAGGGUCUAACUUGAUCGCAGCACAUCCACCCAUAUUUCCGCAUUUUUAUGAUUUAAGGAAUUGUACUCUGAUAACUGUUUUACUAUGAUAUACUUUUUGAUAGUUUGAUAUGAAUAUUUGAUGAUGUGAGUUGAAUUAAUAAUGAAAUUUUUAUCUAUGAUUUUUGGGAUGUUUCACAUCAAGCACCAAGGUGGCAUGAAAUCUUCCUUUAUGGCACAAUUCCUUCAUAUGGUGCAACAUCCAUCAAGAUAUGGCGCAACAUCUCUACAUUUGGCACAACAUCCAUGUGGAUGGCGCAACAUCCAACCUCUUGGUGUAACUUCAACAUGGAUGGCAUAACAUGUUCCUCCAAGUUGCUCCAAACCACCUUUAAGACGAUCUGUUCCUUUAUUAGAUGAUUCAAUGCCUUUUCUGAUUAUUCGUUCCUUUGACACAUGCUCCAUGAAACUCAAGUGCUCUAUUGAGUUUUAAGUGCUCCAUUGAACUCGAUUUCUCCAUGUGAAUACUCUAAACGCUCAAGUCACAUUUAACAGUUGUAAAAAUAAAUUGGCGACAAAACGUACGAAAACUAGCAAAAUAAAUGAAUUUGUAAAAACGAGUUCUGAGAAAAAAAAACAUAUGAAAACGAAGUAAAAAGUCAAGUUGUAAAAUAGAUUGUGAAGAAACAUGUAAACGUGAAGUAAAAAAAUGAAAAUGUGAAAACGAAUCAUGUAUAAUGACUCGUGAGAGUAAUGAACUAUUGCAAUUGUACAUAUUUUAUCAGUAUUUUUAUAUAUAUUUGACCAAUAUAUUUACAUAAAAUGCUCAAAAAGAUAACUAUUACAUGCAAUUAAAUAAAUUUGACGACUUUGACCUAUAUAUCCCUAUAGCCAUCAAGUGUCCAUCCAUGGAUAAAAGAAAAUUGGGAUAUCAUAAGAGAAAUCAUGGGAUGGUCCUUGUUUUGAUGAAGAUUACACCCUUUCCGUCAGAAAUAACAUAACUCUAUGAACCAUUAAAAUAAGUUUGAACCAAACUCCAAACAUUCACGCAAACAACUUUUUCAUUGUUAAUUCUUCAAAUUUAGCCCAUCGGGUUCUCAUCGCUACCGGUAGUCAACAAAGAAUACACCCACGAUCAUCUGAAUUUAUUUUUUCUUUAGCACUCUCUAACAUUCUUCUUUCUGCUCGAUAAAUGAGUAAUGCAAGAGGUUAGAGAGUACCAAGGUGUUCCAUAAUUGACUUGGAAGAGAAUAGUAUUGUGGUUUCGUGAUUUUUUUUCAAGAAAGAGAAAGAUGAGAGAGAAAAUAGAGGUAUAUGUAUUCUCCUUCCCUUUCGGUAAAGAAGGGAAUGUGAUGAGUUGAGGUUGAUAAUUUAGCAAUGAAACAGUUGUUUAUGUAUAUGCUUAGAUGGUUUGAUCUCCAAAACAAAGGAUCAUCUCAUAAUUUCUCAUACAAGGUCUCCAUUUUCCUUUGACCAUGCAACGAGAUGGAGGAGAGAUAGUAUCAUGGAUGGAUAUUUGUUUUCUAUGAGAACAAAUUGGUGAAAGUCAUUGGAGAAAGCGUUAAAAUUCUUUUAAUUUUUCAUUCAUAAUGUUAUUUUUGAAUAUUUUAUGUAAUUUUAUUAGUCAAAUAUAUAAAAACAUAAGUAAAUGUAAUAAUGAAAACCUUAGAUAGCAUGGUGUAAUGAUAUCUUUUAAACAUUAGGUAUUAGGUAUAAGUUUAAUGAUCUAAUAUAUAGGAAAAGAGAAAAAUAAAUAAAUAUGUAUAGUUACAAAAUCUUUAUCUCUAAUAUGUACAAUUACAAAUAUUUGUAACCAUUACAAAUCUUUAUCUGUAACCAUAUUUAUCUAUAAUACGUUACUCAACCUUAAAGAAGAUGGACGUACAUAUACAAGCAUUUACAACAAGUUCUUAAAAAGAAUUACAAUAUAAACUAUAAAGGAUCCCUACAAGGCAACAACCGCCAUGAUCACUUUGACCCAAUACGAAAAUGCUUGCAAUAUACAUGGAUGCAUAGUUGUGUAUGCAUAUACAUAUAUUUUUAUAUUUAUUAUCCUAUUAGUUACAUUUAAUAUUUUAUCGAAAACGUUAAGAAAGUGUAUGGAAGAGGGGAUUGGGUUGAUGGGCAUGAUGGUGGGGCUAAUCUCCAUAAGCAUUCAUGCAUCCAUGCUGCGUCCCAACUGCAUCUCUUUCCCUCAUGGGGCCACAUUUUUUUUUUUCUUUAUUCCCUCUUUUUUACUAUACAAUAAAUUUAGUUAGAUAAGUUUUUAAAUAUAUAGUUGGGCGAAGUUUAUUAAGAAUCUUUCCAUUUUUAACUUUUUACAUUGAAAAUCAUCAUAAAUUUUUGGCUGAAAUUAUUUUUUUUACUUUUAUAUUGAAGUUAUUAUUCAUUUAUUAAGAUUGGUUAUCAUGUUAUAAAUGUUCAUACUAGUUUUUGACUUUGACCAACAUAUCAUAUAUCAUAUUGGAUUCUUUUGCAUUGUUUUGGAUAGGCAAUAAGCUGUUUUUGGUUUGCAAUUAUCAUCUUUUAUAAAUAAAUAAAAAUAUAUUAAUAAUUUAUUAGAUAAAAGAGUAAAAUAUAAAGUGUUUCAAAAAAUGUGUCCUAAUUAAUAUAUAAAAAGUUUUAUAAGAUAGUUGUCAAUGAAUCAAACUGACCUAUCUAUCGUAAAAAAAUGGUUUGAUGUGUUUUCAAGUUCGUUUAAUCUGCUAUUUUGUUUUGACACAAGAAGCAAUGAUUUAGAGCCCAUUUGUUAUGAAAAUCGACAAAUGAGGAUCGCAAUGAAAAAUUAGGAAAAAGCAAGGGGGUGAAAGAGAAAAUGAAAAGAAAGUAGUAGAAGACUAGAAGAAUCUGACGACAUGGAUACAGAGGGCGCUAGAAGUUACGGGAAAACAUGAGGUUUAAUAGUCCUCCACACCCCAUUGGUAAUGGCAUAUUCAUCUCGACAGCUGGCUCCGGCUAUUUUUUAUAUUUAUUUAUUUAUUUUUUAAUUUGGGUUAAAUAAGUGGGUUAUUGAUAUCAAAUUGAUUAAGUUUGUUAAUUUUUUGGAAUUGUCCCUAUCAUGAUUUUUUUUUCUUUACCUUUUUUAGUUUUUUAAGUUUUUUAUUUUAUUUUUUUAUUUUUUAUUUUAUUUUGCUUUGUAUAUUUUCCUUUUUACCUCUAAAUAGUACAGGUUUUGAGAUUAUAAUAAAAUAUUAUUUAUAAAAAAACCUUAAGUUUAUAAAUAUUUUAUGCUUUUAUCAUUUGUAUGUUUUUUCAUAUUAUAUAAAUUAAUGAGGUUUUUUUGAACGACUAACUGAAUUAACAAAACGAAAUUCUAACAAGGAGCUAAAGCAAAAACGAACAAAAUACACUAAGAUGAUGUUUGUUUUUUGUCUGUAUAUUUUUUUAGUCUUUUUUGUUUACACCGUACAAAAAACUACAUGUAGACAUUAGUCUUUACAAACUAUUUGGUUUUCAAAAACUGUAACCUAAAAAGGUAUAUGCAUCCUCUACUAAGCACAGAAAUUAACUACGCUCUUCUAAUAUCUUUAGACAUGUUCUAACCUAAAAACACAUUAUCUUUGGUUUUUUAUGAAAUAAUUAAAAUUAAAAUUUAUUUCAAUUUUAUCUAUGAUAAAAAAUUUUAGAAAAAAGUUACAAUAUUUCAAAAAAUAGGAUUCGAUAACACAACUAUGACCUUUGUAACAUAUUUUUAAACGAAUAUAUAAUUAGAAUAAUGUUCUUNNNNNNNNNNNNNNNNNNNNNNNNNNNNNNNNNNNNNNNNNNNNNNNNNNNNNNNNNNNNNNNNNNNNNNNNNNNNNNNNNNNNNNNNNNNNNNNNNNNNNNNNNNNNNNNNNNNNNNNNNNNNNNNNNNNNNNNNNNNNNNNNNNNNNNNNNNNNNNNNNNNNNNNNNNNNNNNNNNNNNNNNNNNNNNNNNNNNNNNNNNNNNNNNNNNNNNNNNNNNNNNNNNNNNNNNNNNNNNNNNNNNNNNNNNNNNNNNNNNNNNNNNNNNNNNNNNNNNNNNNNNNNNNNNNNNNNNNNNNNNNNNNNNNNNNNNNNNNNNNNNNNNNNNNNNNNNNNNNNNNNNNNNNNNNNNNNNNNNNNNNNNNNNNNNNNNNNNNNNNNNNNNNNNNNNNNNNNNNNNNNNNNNNNNNNNNNNNNNNNNNNNNNNNNNNNNNNNNNNNNNNNNNNNNNNNNNNNNNNNNNNNNNNNNNNNNNNNNNNNNNNNUAUAUAUAUAUAUAUAUAUUAAUGAUAAAAACCAACAAUCUUUGAUCGUAAACUUAUGCCUAAAGAUUAUAAUUAGUGAUUAAAAAAAAUUAACACAUAAAAUAGAAGGAAAUAAACUUCGAUUUUACAAUGCAAGAAGAAUUUGUUGAAUUUAAUGUAAAAAUGUGUGGGACCUAGUGCCAAUAUCAAAAUGAGUAUCAAUUGUUGGUCCAAGGUGGAUCUAUAAAAACAAGACUAAUGAUGAUUAAAUCAUCAAAAGCAAAAAAAAAAGCCAGCCUGGUUGUCAAUGGUUAUUCGCAAGAAGAAGACACAGACUAUGAUGGAAAAUUUACAUAUGUUUUAGAAUAGAAGCCAUUAGGGAUUUCUCGACAUUUUUUGCACGUAAGAAGAUCAAGAUUUGUCAAAUGGAUGUGUAGUGUGCAUUUCUUAAUGGAUAGAUUGACAGAGAGGUAUAUGUUAGAUAACCCCUGGGUUUAAAGACCAACGACUUCAAAACCAUUGCUUUACUCUUCAUAAAGUUGUAUGUGACUUGAAACAAACUCCCAGAGCAGGGUAUCGAACAUUGUCCAAAUUCAAAGAAGAUUCAAAGUUUCAAAUAUGAUCUAUAUUGGUUAAUUCCAAUGUACAUAUCAUCUUGUAAAUCUUCAUCAAAAUCCCCAACACCUGAAUGAUUGUCUUCAGAACUGAAUACUUUAGCUUAGUCAUCGUUAAGCUAAUCCUGCAUAUUCACACCAAGACGAUCUAUGUACACCUAAAGUAUACAACCAAAAGCAUACCAUAUCUCGAUAAGAUCCAUAUAGUAUCGGUUUGUAGCUAUUAUCCUCAACACUUCAGGAAACUCUAACUCUGACACACAAUAAUGCACCUUCUCACAUUUCUCCUAUGUGAAUCUUUCAAGAAAACCCACAAAUUCAUUCUUGUUUAUUCCAACAAAAUCCACAUCUUCAAACCGAUUUUCUAUUCCAUCUAAAUAAGUAAUUGCAUGGUACCUCGUAAAAAUACUUAGGUCAUGAAGAUUUAUCUGAUGGGUUUUGGCUAUAAGAACAUCCUAUGUGCUCAUACAAACCCUAAUGCUUGGAUCUAGGUUUCUCUAUUGUACAUGCAAUUCAUCCAAGACUAUAAGCCCUAGAUCUAGCAUAUGAUAAUCAAUAUAACAUAUAAUUUAGGGUUUAGAUCAUACCUUGAUUGUUAUGUAGCAAUAACAAUCUCAAAUCCUCCUUGUAUUGACUUUAGAAACCUUAGAGUCACAAAUGUCACUCCUCUAAUGGUUUACAAACACCAAGAGCAAGAGGAUGAAGAAGAGAAGGGAAGGAGGCUCUCAAAACGUGUGGAAACCCUAGAGAACAAGUUCACCACGUUUUUGGAGCAUAAGGGUUCUAUAUAUAGUGAGGCUAUUAGCGUUAUCUAACAAGGAAACCCUAAUUUGGAUGCUUAAGCCCUAAGCAACCCAUGGACUCCUUUCCUUAAAGGCCUUGGACGAUUUCUAAUGGGUUUCCCGUAGAAUUCGUCCAACCUUAUAAUAUAAGGCAAUCCAUAGCCCAAUUGCAAUUAUCUUAUAUUACAAUUCUAGUCCCUUAAGUUUAAUUAAUCUCUUUUAGUCACAAACUUAAUUCUUAUUAAUUCUUGACUAAUAUUAAUUAAACAAUAUGAUUUCUCCUUUAAUAUAUUAUUCUCAUAAUAUAUUAAUAAAUCAUAUUUAAUCCUUUCUCUCCAUAAUUCAUCCUAUCAAGUUACUUUGGUGAAGGCAACCCAAAAGGACCAUGCACCAUCGGGUCAAGUACAUACCAAAAUAGUUAUGGACUUAGACACUAAUCCAACAGUCUCCCACUUGGAUAAGUCUAAUAACUAUUAUGCGUAUGACUUCAGAUCCUGAUCUGCAAUCGUAGCUUUCCAAAGCCGCUGUCAACUCUGAUCCUAUCAGAUACGCGUGUCCUUUAGAUAAGGGAUCAUAUAUUCCUCCAUUCUAGAUAUCGUAAGACAUGAUUUCUAAUCAUUCUCUCUGUACUAUUUCUCGACUUCCGAUUUAUGACGACUGACUAAUUGAACAAAUCAAAUUAGCCCUAGCCCGGCCGAGCAUUUACGUUUGUCAUCACUAAAUCAUCGAGGGGCCCAAAGAUAUCGCUUUUAUCCUACUUUGGAUAAAAGGAACGGAUAAACUUUGAUACAAUGCUUGCUUGCACUCACUCACCGAAUCACACACAACAAUAUGUUUUAUAACACCAAGUUACUGGUGCGUUUACAUAUUAUCAAUGUGCAACCGAUUUGCAAGAUACAACUCACACAUCUCGGUUUCAAGAAUAUAAGAUGUUAUCGUCUCACCAAUCACUCGUGAUACAAUUCAUGGAGUGAUCCAAGUGAGCGUGGGUUUAAUCCAAUGCUCAAAUCAUAUUCAUAAGCACUCAUGAACGUUGCAGCAAACAUUUGCUUAUGUCUAAUACUCUUUAGACAAUCCACACACCAAUUCACGACAGUCUUCAUUCAUACCUACUUCCAACAUAUGAACGACUGUGGCCCGUUCGAAUAAUUUGACUGUUCUUAACCAAUUAAAUUAUUCAGGAAGUCAAAACAUGCAAAGUGAAACACAAGAAUAAUACUAAUCCCAUAUGGCCUCAAACCUUUGAGUAUAAAUAAAACACCUUUUAUUUAUCACCAUAUCGAUUACUCAUUAUUUGUUGUUUCGGGUAAUCAACUUCUUACUUGAAUUAUUACACUUGUCCCAUGCUCUUAGCAUGCACACAAUGUUUACCUAUGGUUCUUACUUUGUGAAAUAGAUCAAAUUGAACACAUUUCCAAUCAUUCUCAUUUCACAACUCCAAAUCCUUUUUCAUAAGUGAAAGAAUAUCAAAUUCUUGCUACUUAUAGAAUAUGCUAGAUUCUAACAUUUUAUGCAAUGAUCCUUUCGUAAUGUCACUGCACCAAAGUCACAAAGACUAUUGCCAAUGAUAUUACAAAGUCCUCUAUCGGAGAUUGUUACAAGACAAUUCCUUAGAUAUGAUGUCUCUCACUCAAAGUACAUUCCUUUGAACAUCCUUUUGCAUAAAAGUUUCUAAUCUAGACAUAGAUUUUCAAUAUUCAAUUCCCAAUAUGGACACGUUUCCAUAUUUUCCAUAUGACAACUCAUUCUUAAUAGAAUCUUAUCUAUUCAUAAUAAUGUCGAUAUGGUCCAUCCAAUAUGGAAACAUUUCCAUAUUUUCCAAUACUAUACUUCCAACUACUCACAAGCGACCAAUCCUCGGCGAACUUUGGAUUGUCCUUUGAUAGUUGUUUAAUUAUCUUAGUCAAAACCGAUUCUUGUCCUUUUUCCCUCUAAAUGCGCUAGACAUUUGGAAAAUUUUAGAAUGGUCAAAUAUUAUAGCAUUUGCAAUCGAUCCUAUACCCGAAGCGUAUGGGACACGAUGCAUAAUGUCUUACAUAAAGAUUUGAUACUUUAUCAAUCUUCUGCCAUAAUAUUUUAUGUGCUACGUUCUCAAAAUUCGAACUAUGAAGAGGAAUGUCGUAAUCAUAAUCGAAAUUUGAGAACACACUAUGUAUCCUUGACUAAAUUUAUUAACAUUCCACAACCUAAGCCUUUAGAUUUGAAAUGAAGCAUAAUAUUCUCUCCCUUAAUUAUAGCAAAACAACUUUUCAACCCUUACGACUUUGCAAGGUAUAACUCUUGUUUUCUAUAAUUAAUAUUGCCAACUUGCAAUACGUGCCUUAAUAAUCAUACAAUCAUAACAUUUAUGCUCCCACUAUCAUGAUGAUUAUUAUAAACAUAACACUUAUGCUCCCACUAGCUUUGACAUGUAUUCAGAAACAACUUAACUUUCAGAAAAACAAUGCUUAUUGAAUUUCUUAAGUUCAUGUUUCUAAUACUUAGUGCUUUGAUAAUCCUUUAUCAAGGCUUCUUGAACUUAUACACCUUUGCCUUAGAUAGUUCAUAUGUGUGUCUAAACAAUUCAGACUAAUUGCCAAAUCUCACAAUUCGAAUCAUGGAAAGGGAUACCGUAACCAUAAUCGAAUUCGAGAAUGCAAUUUUACAAUCACUAUCUUCUUAAAAUCUUUCUUAGUGAAAGCAUUUCCUCACAAUCAUUUUCAUGAAGGAGGAAAUCUUAUGACACUUAGAUUUAAACGGUGUAUGUGUUCCUAUCCAUGUGAAUUUGUUAAAACCAAAGUUUACGACAAAUUCAAACUCAUAUGGACCGAACUUUCUUAAUCUUGAUUUCUUGCCUUAUGGUAGCACAGCUGCCCACCAUGUCUUCCAAGUAGUUAAGCAGCUCACCCUUUCCUAUCAAUGUACCUUUCAUUGAUUAAGGUGCUUUGCCUUUUAUGCGUUCAAAAUGAGAACUCAUAGAACUCACAUGCAUAAUUAACUCGAUUGGAUUGGCACAGAAACAAAAUAAUGUCAACACGAUAGGUUGUAAACCUCAACUCGUGUGCUAGUGAUGAUCGAUAAGGUUUAUUUGAUUUGUUCUUGAAACCUUUCAAGACCAUUAAGACUCCCACUGACUCCUUGACAUAUAAGAUUCUCUUGUCAAUAACCAUUUCUUGACAAACAAAUAUUCAAGAGUUAGUGUAGCUUUUAUCAAAACACUUCAUAAAUUGGUCCUAGUUGGUCUUUGUCUUAUCCAAGACAUCACAACUUUCCACAUUUGAUGAAUGUUAUAAACCUUCUUAAUACUUAUCACUCAAUGUCACAAUCUUAACUUUAAGACUUGUUUUUGGAACGAAGUAUGAUUGACUUCUUGAUUUAACCAUUUCUUCAAUUCUUGAUUCCUCUUCUUAGACAUACAAUUGUACUAAGACUCACUUAGAGGAUCAAUUGAGAUAUGGUUCUUAAUCAUUAAGACCUAUCAUAAAGCAUAAAAGGUACUCUCCCUUCUUCUUAGAAUGGAGAAACUUUUAUCUUUCUGCCUACUUGAUUCUUCUUAUUCGUUCUGCUAUUGAUUUAAACCUUUUCAAUCAAUUCAGAAUUACACUUAAUCUUAUAAGUAUAAUCAUAUUUACUAAACCUUUAGUAAAUCAUGACGAAUAUCUUUGUUACUCUUAUGGUGGACUUGAUCAACACGCAACUUUGUGUACUCGAUCUCCUAGUCCUUCACUUGACACUUUGUCAAUGAAUUAGUCUAAUUUCCAAAUAUGAAAUUUCUCAUUCAUCGUGCAACCAAGUUGCAUGAUUCCAAGUUUCUGUCCAAUUGAAACUUGGGCGAUGAGAAACUCUCCCUAUUUGGUAAAUUCUCGACUUUCCAUAAAUAACAUAAUAAGAACCAAAUCCAUUAUUGCUAAUAAUAGAAACAUUUUAACAUCAAUUUUUCAUACACGCCAUUGUAAGGAUAAAUAAAUAAAAUUUAAAAUCAAAAUUUAUUUUAUUGCGGAAAAAUUUGUCCUUACAAUGCAACUCAUUGAAAAACUUAUGCUAAUACAUCUUUCUUAGCAAUCUAAUUCUAACUCUAAGUAGUAGCUCAAGAAUCUAAUCUUCGAGAAAUGCGAUCGAAAUCCAUUCCUUCACGGUUAGAUUCUGCUCACUUCUUCCCUUAAGCUUCCUUUCUUUUCUUCGAUCCUACAAAACAUCAAUUGUAAUCUUAUCACAUUAUGUAUUAAGAAUCUAGAAUAGAAGCUUAAAAGAGUUAGUUAAUGGAUUUUACCUAUAUUAGAGCCAUACGUUUCGACUCUCCCAUCUCUUAGAUCUCUUAGGUAAAUGGGGCAGCUUCGUCUCCAAUGCCCUUUCUCUUGGCAAUAAAAGCAAAUUGACUCUUUUGGAACAUGACAUGGAACUACUUCAGACAUUGCCUUUCUCUUAUGAUCAAACUUUUCGAUCAUAGCAUGUCUUUCGUUGCCAUUGUCUAUAUCCAUAGAGGUCUUGAAGGCAGAUUCACCAAUCAACUUUGCUUUUCUAUUGCGCCAAACCAUUGCUGAUUCAGCAGCAAUAAGCAUAUAGGUGAGAUCUAUAAGGGUCACGUCGUGGUUCAUCAUAUAGUACUCUCUUACGAACUCACUAUAUGAGUUAGGAAGUGACUGAAGAACCCAAUCAACAGCCAUUUCCUCACAGACAACGGAUCCCAACAUUCUUAACCUAUCAAUGUGUGACUUCAUCCCUAGGACGUGUGCACACACCGACUUUCCUUCUUUAUGUUUACUUGCCAAAAGGGCUUGAGUGAUCUUGAACUUUUCAAGCCUUUGAACUUGUGGGUUAGGGAGAAUAAUUGGAGGAGGUGGAGGAAGUGAAGCAUGAUUUCUUGUUCCUCGAUCGAAUCGUGGAAUAUCAUCUUCAUGUGGAAUGCUUGUUCCACGGGAUUUGGGAAGACCAUAGUUGUCGAACUUUGACAUCUACAAAACGGGAGAAAACGAAUUCAAGUUAGUUGAUUGAUUGAGUCCUUAGUAAAUCACCCAAAUGAGAUACUAAGGCUAGGACCCAACACAAUAUUCUACAACUCGGGAGAGGGAUGCCGUAACCCAAAUUGCAGAACAUUUGAAGGUAAGUGAAUGACGAUUCACUAAUUUCCACCAUGAAAAACGAAAAAGAAAUUUAAGUUUUAAAUCUAUGAAAACUCCUAGAUCCUUUGAGAUUCAUUGAACAUUUCAAUGGCAUGUUUAAAUCUCGAUAUGCCCCUCUUGUUUGUGACUGGGAUGCCGAGGAUCACAAAGCGGGUGUGAAUAACCAUGCAAACUUACAUGGUGCCCUCACAUGUUACAGUCACCUAUUCGAUGUGCCGGUAAACCACACACGCUCCACCGAACUAUGACAAACAUUGAGUCACCCUUUGCUACCUUUGCUUAGAACCAUUUAGUGUGCCGGUAAACCACACACGCUCCACUAACGUCUUCGCAAGGGCACAAAGUGUAAUUUCAUGGAAUUGCAUCAAUUCACUUUUGCCUAAGUAACUAAGAUUGGGAAUUUUAUGAAAACAUUUAGUUACUUUUAUACUUCAUUAUACUUAUAAUGGAAGGUUUCGUCCUAUCCUACCCGUUCGGCUAACGACCCUCCACUAGUCAAGAGUGCGGUGGGUAAGAGUGGAUACCCAUUCAAUCGCCAUUUUAUAGGCAAUUUCCUUAAACACCCCUUAUAGACCAGCUUCGUGAAUGAGGCCUACUAACGGUAAGACUGACUUUUACUCAUACAUAUAUAUAAUGUUAGACUUUUAAUGUUAUAUAUAGUAUAGGGUGUAUUUUACACUUUUAAAAUACUAGGUGGUCAAAUUUAAUAAUUAUACUUUUAAUUCAAUUAAAUUGUAAACCAAAACUUUUAUGGAUUUAUUAAACCUCUUUUAAUUAUACACCUUAAUUAAUUAAUAAAACCAUAAGGGUGUGAUUUGAACUUUUCAAAACAAUACUAGGGUUUUAGAAUUUAACAUUCCUAAAUUAAACUUUUAAUCAACUUUUAAAUUCCAAAACUUGAGGGCAAGUUUUGAAACAUUUCAAAACAUUAGGGUUUAGAAUUUAAAUAUACAUCAAAAUUAAACUUUUAAUCAAAAUUUAAAUUCCAAAACUUGAGGGCAAGUUUUGAAACCUUUUCAAAACAUUAGGGUUUCAACUAUUUAAAUUUCAAAACAAAACUUUUAAGUUCAAAUUUAAACUAUAAAACCUAAAGGGGAAAAAUUGAAACUUUUCAUACAAGAUAAUUCAAAUCUAAAUUACAAAUAAUCAAAUAUUAUCUAAUAAAACAAAUGAUUAUCUAAAUUUGACAAUUAUCUUCUAUUUAGGUAAGGAUAAUCACCAAAUAUUGAUAAAAUUCGGAUUUUAUAACAAAAAUAUGUUUAUGGUAAUUAUCCAAAGCUAAAACAGGAAGAAAAUCGCGAAAAUUAGCUGUCAAACGAUUUGACUCGUCGAGUCUGGGCUUGGACUCGUCAAGUACAGCUAACUCGGCGAGUGCACCAAGUGACUCGGCGAGUCAAACACUCAAAAUCAAAAAUUUUCGAUUUUCAGUGCUGAUUUCGAUCAAAUAUGCAUCAAUACAAUAGAAACCAAUCUAGGUUCUGAUACCACUGAUGGGUUUUGGCUAUAAGAACAUCCUAUGUGCUCAUACAAACCCUAAUGCUUGGAUCUAGGUUUCUCUAUUGUACAUGCAAUUCAUCCAAGACUAUAAACCCUAGAUCUAGCAUAUGAUAAUCAAUAUAACACAUAAAUAAGGGUUUAGAUCAUACCUUGAUUGUUAUGUAGCAAUAACAAUCUCAAAUCCUUCUUGUAUUGACUUUAGAAAGCUUAGAGUCACAAAUGUCACUCCUCUAAUGGUUCACAAANACUACACCAAGAGCAAGAGGAUGACGAAGAGAAGGGAAGGAGGCUCUCAAAACAUGUGGAAACCCUAGAGAACAAGUUCACCACGUUUUUGGAGCAUAAGGGUUCUAUAUAUAGUGAGGCUAUUAGGGUUAUCUAACAAGGAAACCCUAAUUUGGAUGCUUAAGCCCUAAGCAACCCAUGGACUCCUUUCUUUAAAGGCCUUGGACGAUUUCUAAUGGGUUUCCCCAUAGAAUUCGUCCAACCUUAUAAUAUAAGGCAAUCCAUAGCCCAAUUGCAAUUAUCUUAUAAUUACAAUUCCAGUCCCUUAAGUUUAAUUAAUCUCUUUUAGUCACAAAACUAAUUACCAAUUAAUUAUUGACUAAUAUUAAUUAAACAAUAUGAUUUCUCCUUUAAUAUAUUAUUCCCAUAAUAUAUUAAUAAAUCAUAUUUAAUCCUUUCUCUCCAUAAUUCAUCCUAUCAAGUUGCUUUGGUGAAGGCAACCCAAAAGGACCAUGCACCACCGGGUCAAGUACAUACCAAAAUAGUUAUGGACUUAGACACUAAUCCAACAUUAUCUUCAUGUAAACAACCAUAGAAACAACUCAGAUGAUCGAUUUCAUAGAGAAAUUAAGCGAAAGGGUUUAAAUCUGAAAACGAUAGAGACUUCUCUUUCAGCAUGGAAAUAAAGAAAGGUAAGACACCCAGUAACUUAAUUAUUGUCAGAUACAUGUUGAUUGACAUGACAACUCUUUUAAUGACGUGACUCAAUAAACCUGUUAAUUUGGAAGGGAUUCACUGGAUGACCAAUUCAGUUUAUAGAAAAUGACAUGUUAAACACUAAAAAGUUGAAUUUAUACCCUUAGAAAAUAAUAAUAAUAAUAAUAAUAAUAAUAAUAAUAAUAAUAAUAAUAAUAAAUAAAUAAAUAAAUAAAUAAAUAAUCAUAAGGGACAACUUAAAACAAAAAGUUGUAAAUUGGUUGAGCUACCCUAACAAUAAUUUUUUUUUAAAUGGACUCAAUCUAUUAACUAAAAAAUAUCUACCAUAUAAACAAAUAUAUUUCACAUAACUGAUUGAUACACUACAGGAAUACAUAGCUAUGGCGACGACACCUAUACUGACGACAAAAGUCGUCGCUACAACUCCGCCUAUGCCGACGACUAGUCGUCGCCACACGUUUUGCCAACUUUGACCAAAAUCGUUUGACCUGGAUACUUGUGCCGACGACAUGUCGUCUCGAAACCUGUGGCGGGAACAACCAAAAAAUACGCGAAAUGCUGAAAACCUAUGUCGACGACAUGUCGUCGGUAUAGCUUUCGAUAAAUCUAUUUUCCAAUUAUUUAUAUUCGAUGGUCCGGUUUAUCAAAACGACGUAGUUUUACGGAAUCUAUACUGACGACUUGUCGUCGGCAAUCCACGUGGCGAUCCGUGUGAAAACAUUAUACCGACGACUUGUCGUCGGCAUAGAUUUUUAUUUUUCAUUUUUUUUAUUUCAGCAAAAACAAGUAAACGACAACGUUUAUUUUAACCCUAUACCGAUGACAUGUCGUCGGCAUAGGAGUUUACCUAAAAGACCACAGUCUGUGUUUCAUUUGCACGCAACGACGCAUCGUCUUUCUCUUUCUCUCGCGAUCAGCAAAAAAUCGAAGCUACCCUCCAAAAAUCCGGUGAUUAGCACCAGGUAAUAUCUCUUCUACCCGGUUUCUCUCUUUAUUGCUUUGUGGUCAAGAUUUUUACCCCUAAUUUGGAGUUGUUUUAUGUUAUUUAUUGCAAUUGGUUCACCACCAUCGGCUUCCACCAUUUUCAGCCAUCCCCACCGGCGAGUCCACCUCCGGUUCACCACCUUCCGCAUUCUCUCCUUCGAUGCUACAUCAUGUAAGUGUUGAUCGGUUUUGGUGUUUUGUUGCUAUCGUGUUUUUUUUUUUUCUGAUUUGGUGUAUUUUUGGUGACCACCAGCCACCACCGGAGGAUACCCAUCAAAGUUGACAACUGGAAUCCUACCAUCACAGCAAAAAGAAAAAAAAUAGGUUAGUAUUUUUAUUUAUAAUUUUUUUUGAAAUUGUGAUUGUAUAUAUGUACAAGUUUAUAUGAAAUUGGAAUCAUUGUAUGACCAUGAGAUUGUUUGUUUUGUAUGUGUUUGAUUGUGCUGUUUGUUUGUUAUGUGUAUGAUUGUAUUCUUUGUUUAGUAUAUGUAUUUUUGUUUGUUUAGGUUGAUGUGAAAUUGAAGUUGUAUAUUUGUAUAAAAUGUUAAUUUAGUUGUUUAUUGUUGUAUGAAAUUAAAAUUGUGUUUAAAAUAUUAUAUGAAAUUGAAAUUUGUUUAGGUACAUAUGAAAUUGAAAUUGUAUAUAUACAAUGUUAAUUUACUUGUUUAGGUUUAUAUAAAAUCAAAUAUUUUGUAUUAUUGUGAAAUAUUUUGCAAUUAUGAACUUUUCAAAAAGAAAAUUAAGUUUAAGUUUAUAUAAAAUCAAAUAUUUUGUAUUUGUUUACUUUAUUAGUUUAAGUGAAUGAAGUGAUAAAAUAUUUAGUUUUUAAGUUAAAAUUUUUGUCAUUAAUAGCAACAUACUUUUUUUAGCUUGUUUAUUACAGUAUUUUAUUUUCAUUUCUAUUUGAUAGUUAUAACAUAAAACAAAAUAAUAAAACUACGUUCAUAUUAAAAGUACAAUGCUAUAAUAAAACAAAAAAAAAACAAAAUAUUAUUAAAAGUACAAUGUUGUAAUUGAAAAAAAAAUGUAUAUAUACUAUAAAUAUGAAAGAGAAGUGAAAAAUAGAAUGUUUUAAACAAACUAAUAAAAGUACAUUGCUAUAAAAUGUGUUUAGAAGUCUACCUUUGUGAAUACUCUAUCAAUUCCGUCAGAUUUCUACUUCCAGGGUAUAUAUUUCUUUAUAUACUUGUCAAUAUCUAUCAAUUCCAUCCGUUUUUUCUCAAACAAAAAGUCAUACAAUUUAACUAUGUAUACAGUGUUAUUUUUAAUAAUGAAACAGUGUCACACCCCAAAUCUGUAACGACGGAAACGUUCAGGGGUGGAGGACGUCAUGUUUAGUAUCACGAGAUAUGUAUUUGGUAAGCAAGUAAUGAACAACCAUUUCAUUUAGAAAGAAAGUGUUUACAAUGUGUGUGUUCACAAAACAUAGAAUUCAUAAACAAAUAACAAAACAAGACUUGAAGCUAUAAUGCUCCAUCUUCUGAUUUCCCAGCACGAGCACCUGUCUAAUAAUCUCCUGAGAAUACAAGUUAUUUGAAAGAGUUGAUCAGCAAUUAAGCUGGUGAGUUCAUAAGAUUUUAGUGAUGUGAGUAAGCUGUAAAAUGUGGUUGAGAAUGUAUAUGUAAAAGUGAAGUAAGCUGUAAGUUCUGUUUUGAAAAGUUUGCCUGUUCCUCUAGAAAAUCCUAUAUUUCCUACUUGAAUGAACGUUAAGUAAUUUGACACUACAAGCCUUUCUGUGGGUACUAAGUGGGUACAAGUUAUAUAAGUCUCGGAGUAAACAAACAAUCGAUUGUGCGUAUCUGCCCUAAGUUCACAACCCAACAAGGAACAGAAAGUAAGACAGAUAACACACAUCCCAUUGGUUGUUAGAUCGUUGUCAUAUAUAACCCUGGUGUAUUCACUUGUUACUCAUGGAGUUAGUUGUAAUGAUUUCUUUAUAUCUAAUGAAAAGUUCUUUAAGAAAACCUAUAUUUCUUAUAGUAAAAAUAGUGACCACAGUGUCUACUUUUAUAAUAGCUUAGUUUCUACUGCUAUAUAUAAUCUAAUAUCGAUUAGAAAGUUAAUUGGGUGAAUCUGCCCUAAGCCUACAACCCAACAAGGAACAGGAAGUAAGGCAUAAAACACACAUUUAACUACCUAUUGGGUAUUAGUUUUAUAUAUAAACAUGGUGUACAAACUAAGGUAUUAUAGAGUUACUCACCUAAAGUCUUUAAAAUUGUACCGAUUUAAUAAAAUGGAUUAAACCCUUUACUGGGAAAUUUCUAGUUUUGAAUACUCAAAAAGUACUGACUUUGGGAAGUAUGUUUUGUACUAGAAAACCGUGCUCUGACUCUGUGUCCUAUAACCUGACCCAUACUUGGUACUCUUAUGAUGACUUAAUGUAUACUAAGCAUACAUAUAUAUAGAAUCAGAUAGAUAAUAGAUUGGGUGAAUCUGUUCCAAGCCCACAACCCAACAAGGAACAGGAAAUGAAGUGGAGAGAACACAUCCUAUUAGCUGUCGGAACCUAUUGGUAUAUAUGUAACCUGUGAUGUAUACAUUAAGGAAUCAUAAUACUAGCAUUCUGGUCCUAUCCUUUAAUUAUAGCCUUCUACCAAGACAUCUUUUGUUAUGUGCUAGACCCGACUGUUCCUUUGUCAAUUUGUAAAAAGUAUAUUUUCCCUAGUUUAUAACUAUCUUGACUAGAAAAUAGUUCAACUUUCAAGUGGUACUGUCACUUUAUGAAAGUAAGGGGAAAAGUAAGUACACAGAUGUCGUUUAUAAUGACAUACAGAUGUACUAAAUAACCUAAAAAGAUAUUUGUUUUAUUACGGUCAUAAUGUGAAGGCUAGAACCCCUACUAAACGCUCUCCCUGUCAAGAGAUUAAGGGAACCAAAACAAUGAGUUAGUGAUUCAUUGGUAUAAUUAGAUCCUGUUUGUGUGUACUCAUGCUAUAGGAAACUAAUUUGUUUGUUCUGUAUGGUAUUGUUAUAUAUCUCUUUACUACAUGUUCUGUAUGGUAUUGUUUGAUUCUCUUCACUGUUUGUUUGAUUCUUGUAUGAACUGACUCUUUGUGUGCUUCAUUGUACUAGAAGUACCGAAUAGCAUUCUCCUAAACUAUACCUAUUAUAGUUUACAAAUGUUUUACUUGGACUGUUAUAGAAAAGACUCAUUUAUCUACUAAGUUAUGCUUGUACUUUGAAAACGGAGUUUUGUGUAACUACAAAGUAACAUAACUUUAAAGAGUUUUGAAAUGUUUUGACAACUUAUAAAUAACAGAAGUAACAUUUUGAAAUAUGUUUAACAACAAAAAUUUACACAAUUAUCAUUGUGUUCAACUUGUAUCCCCCCCCCCUUAAACAGUUAAAAGAUUCAUUAUGGGGUAUGAACUCACCUAAUGUGUGUGAUUCAGUCGGGUAUGCGUGUAAGGAUGAGAAGUUCCACGAAUGAAGUCCCGAUACACAAUAAGUCCUAAAUGACAUAUAAGGACGCAUAUUGACAUGAAUAUAGUGUUUAUAGACAACUAUAUGAAAGGAAACACCUUUCGGGACUAAGAAACACAUUGAUCAAGUGUUGGAAUCACAUGUGAUUCAUCAAAGGGAAGUGAAAUGGCAUCCUAAGGUGUUUACGGUUUUGGGACCAACUCCAUUGGAGUUUACGGUCAUAAACCCAUGAGUUUACGGCCGUAAAAUCAUGUUCCCUUGACCAUUUUGUGGUUUAAAGUCCUAAAAGUCAUAAUGAAGCAUCCUAACUUCAAGUCUAAGCCUUAAGAAGUGUUUGUGGCAUCAAAACACUCCUAAAUGGAGUUUACGGUCCAUGGACCACUUCUCCAUGUGUUUGCUGCCAUAAACCCUAUGGAUGAUGGUAUUUUGAUUGUUUUGAAUCGUAAACACAUCAAGGUUAAGAUCUAAACUAGUUUCCAAGGCUUGGUAGGGACUAAGGCACACAUUGGCACCAUUUUUAGGGUUUACGGUCCAUGAACAUCUUGGACCGUAAACACCCUUGAUCUUGCCUUUCUUGGGUGUUUUCUUGAUGAUUAGAAGUGUAACAAGGCUUAUAACACUCUAGGAUAGAAGUACUUACUAGGUAGAAGCUUGAAAAGGAGCUAAAAGUCCAAGAACACUAGUGUGUGUUCUUGGUGAAACUAAGAACACUUGAAGAUCUACAUAAAUGGAAUGAUUUCAUGGAUGAAAUCAUGUUAGAUCACUAGAUUAAGGUGGAUACCAACUUAUUAGGGCUAGAAACACUUACAAGUUGAAGAUCAAAAAGAAAAAUUCGGAUGCUACUUGAGAGGAUUUGUGUUUGGAUCUUGAAUUUGUGAAAAAGUGUUAAAAUAACUAAGUCCCACUUAUAUAGUCAUUAGGGUUUACGUCCCUAAUACCAUUUGGGCCGUAAACUCCAAAAUCUUGGGGUUUUGGGAACCUAAUUGAUGUACAAUAAACACUAGGGCAUCCUCUAUCCUGUUAACUUUUGAAGCACUAACUUUAAAUCAUUCAAACUUAUUCCAAAAAGCUUGAAAGAUAGCAGAAACUAUUCUGACUUCUAUUGAAGUGAGUGGUUGUAUAGAAUAGAAAUUUCGGGUUGUCACAAACAGUAAUGACAGUCGAUAAGAGUUGGAUUCGUGUAAAUCAAACGUCCCCAAAAUUCUUAGAAGGUCUUAAAAACUUUAUGGAGAUUGCCAGGAAACAUGUUGACUCUGAAGACAAAGUGCGUUGUCUGUGAGUAAAGUGUGUGAAUAUGUAUCGACAGUUGUUGAGUACGGUUUAUGCCCACAUACAUGACCGUGGGUUUCUAAAAUCGUAUAUUGUAUGGAUUUAUCACGGUGAGAAGCGUCCUGUUUCGGAUUUAGGCUACAAUUAGACUCCAAUAAACAUUCCAAUAACUAAAGAGAUGUUUGAUGUAAUUGAUGAUGUUAUGGCAAAACAAAAUACAAAUGAAGAAAAUACAGAUGAUGAAGGACGAGGCAUGGACCCAGAAUUUGAUGCUUUGUUUGAGGACCUCAAUACCAAGUUAUACUCUGAUUGUGAGAUGUCUUCUUUAAACUUUUUGGCGAAGUUGUUGCAUAUUAAAGUGAUCAAUAAAUGGACAAAUAGUUCAUUUGACCAACUUGUAGAGUUGCUAAGAGUUGCUUUCCCAAAGAGCAAAAUUCCAACUUCACACUAUGAAGCUAAGAAAAAGUUGAGAAAGAUAGGGUUAGGAUAUGAGUCCAUCCAUGCUUGCAAAUAUGACUGUGCUUUGUUUUGGAAGGAGAAUGAUUCCAUGCAGAAUUGCCCGAUUUGUAACGAGAGUAGAUGGGUGGACACAACUGUUGGAUAAGGUGUCUAAGUCCAUAACUAUUUCUGGUAAGUACUUGACCCGACCCGGCAUGGUCCAUUUGGGUUGCAUGGCACCAUCCAAUUGGAUAAACUAAAUGAGAGAAAUAACACAUAUGAUUUAUUAAUAUAUUAUAAGUUCUAAUAUAUUAAAAAUAUUGUUUAAUUAGUUUUGAUUAAGAAUUAAUUUAGAAUUAAUUAACUGAUCAAAACAUAACUAAUUAAAUAUAUGGAUAGAUUAUGCAAAUCUUCCAUAUCUUAUAUAGUGGGCUAAGAGGCUCCAUGGAUUAUCAAGUUGGGUUCCACACAUAGGAUGCUCCAUGGAGUUAACCCAUGGAUCAAGAAAUGAAGAGUCAUGGAACAUUAGGGUUUACCUAAUGCAACACACUAUAUAAGCAAUGUAACUCUCGCCAAAAUCGGCUACACUAAGAAACAAGAGGGCUUGGCCGAUUUUGCAUGUGUUAGAGUAUUCUCUCAAGUUUAUUCUUUGCAUUUGGUGUUGUGUGAAGCAUUUGAGGCAUCACACUUGAGGUGCUAGGCUCACAAGGUUUCAAGGAACACUUUCAACAACAAGGUAUGUAGUUCUAUCUUUUAUACAAAGAAAAUUGUACCCCAUGUAUGCUAGAUAGGUUCAUAACCUUGGAAAACAACUUUGCAUGAUUAUUAUACAAACAUAGAUCCAAGGUUAUUAGGGUUGCAUGUACACUUAGGAAGUGUUAGAAUGCUCAAACCUAUCAGUGGUAUCAGAGCCUAGGCUUGCUUGUUUGAUUUUUGUGCAAACUGCUUAAAAAUCGAGUUUUCUGCUUUCUGCCCGUAUGAACUUGCAGUUUUCAGAAUUUCGAUUUUUGUUGCUGGAAAUGGACUAGGAACAUUACCCUAAACUGUUUUGGUGUUUUAAAACUUGUUUUAGUUGGUGUAAUGUUCAUGUUAAUCCAUUUACAAUGACAAAUCAUCAAAAUUACAAGUUUGAGUAAUUUUUGAUUCAUGAAAGUGUUCAUAUUCAUGUUUUUGAUCUUAUGAUGUUUAGAUGAUCAUAGGAAUUUUUUGUAACCUAUGUGGUAGAUUAAUUCAUGAUCAUUAUGUGUUUUAAUGGAGUCUAUAACUUAUCCUCAAGUUAUGGAAAACCAAAAGUCACUUUGCUUUAAAACCAUUAAAAGAACACAUGGAUUAUAAAAAUGAAGAGUCUUCAUUUUUAAUACUCUAAUUAACUCAUAAGUUAUAAGAAAUGAAAAGUUUUGAAAGUUUACAAAACUUGCCCUCAAGUUUUGGAACAAGUAAAGUCUUGAUUAAAACUUUAGUUCCAACCCUUAGAAUUUUAAAAGUUAAAAUUCAACCCUUAUACUUAUAUUAUUAUGAUUUAAUAAUUAUAUAUAUAUGUAUAAGAACAAAGUCGUCUUACCGCUAGUACGCCUCAUUCACGAAGCCGGUCUAUAAGGUGGGUAUAAGGUUGUUGCCUAUAAAAUGGUGACUUAAUGGGUGUCCACUCUCACCCACCGCUUGCUUGAUCGGUGGAGGGUCGUUAGCCGAACGGGUAAGACAAGGACUUAUUAAUUCUCAUUCAAAGUAUGAUGAAUAUUAUAAAGUAACUAAAUGUUUUAUUAAAUUCCCAAUCUUAGUUACUUUAGGAAAAAUGUGAAUAAGGUGCUAUUCCAUGAAAUUACACUUUACACUUUGAUUAAGUCGUUGGUGGAGCGUGUGUGGUUAACCGGCACACUAACUUGGACUUAACAAGGUAGGUAAAGGGUGACUUAGGGUUUAUUAUAGUAUCGAUGGAGCGUGUGUGGUUAACCGGCACAUCGAUUGAGUGAUAAACUUUAAGGGUACCAAGUGAUUUGCAUGGUUACUUCACACCUCGUUUUGUGAUCCUCGGUAUCCCAGUCACAAAACUUGGAGGGCACACUCGAGAUUGAAACAUGCCUUUGAAAAGUUCAUUGAAUCUCAAAGAAUCUAGGAAUUUCUAAGAACCAUUCAAAAACCUAAUACUAAAAUAUUGCGGUUUUCGUGGUGGAAAUUGGUGAAUCGUCAUUCACCUACCUUUCAAAUAUGAUAUAGCUUAGAUUACGGCAUACCUCUUCUAAGUUAUAUUAUAUUGUGAUUGGAUCCUAGCCUUAAUAUUACAUUUGGGUGUUUUAUUAAGGACUCUCUUAUAUCUAAACUAAUCUUGUCCUCUUUCCUUCAGAUGUCUUUCAACAAUGCUUCUGGCUCUAAUCCUAAUGGCUCCUUUACCCUUAUGAACUUGUGUGGGAAAGUCACCUUUGAUGGAUCCAACUUCAAUGAGUGGAUCAGAAACAUCAGGAUGAUUACCCGCUACGAGGACAAAGAAUAUGUCCUUGACAAGGAGCUUAAGGAGAUUGAUGAGUCCACUGCAACUCCUCAGGAGAUCGCUGAAUUUCGGGCACAUGAAAGGGAUGCUACGAAAGUGGCUUGCAUCAUGAUGGCCACGAUGACAGCGGAACUCCAAAAGUCUUAUGAGGAUUUCUACCCUUAUGACAUGCACCAAGAUUUGAUGGAAAGAUACCAUCAAAGUGCAAGACAAGAGAGGUAUGAAAUCAUCUGCUCCAUGAUAACAACCAUGAUGAAGGACGGGGAAUCCGUCACGAGCCACAUGCAGAAAAUGCAAAGGUAUGUGGAUCGUUUGCUGAAGCUUAAUGUGAACUUCCCGGAGGAUCUUGCAAUAGAUAUUAUUUUGCAUUCCUUACCAUCGUGCUAUGAUCAAUUCCGCAUGACAUAUCACAUGAACAAGGAAGAAGUCACCCUCAGCAAACUUCAGGGACUUCUCAAGACCGCAGAAACAGGUCUUAAGGGGAAGUCGGUUGCUAUCACUCCUACUCAAAACUCUACUCCGGUUUUGGCAAUCGGGAAAAGUCGAGGGAGGAAGAGAAAGAGCUCUUCUAAGGGUACCAAGGCUCGGACCCUUGAUGGCUCUUCUUCAAGUGGAACCAAGAAAGGUUUCGUUACUCCUUCUUCUGACCCAAAAGAGGCUGAAUGCUUCUAUUGCCAUGAAAAAGCUCAUUGGAAGCGGAACUGCCCAAAAUACCAGCAAGAUGUGAAGGAUGGGAAAGUUAAACCCAACCAUGCAGGUAUUUACACUAUCAUUUCUAAUAACUCACCCCAUUCUAAUUCUUGGGUCCUUGAUACCGGGUGUGGUAUUCACAUUUGUUGUGACUUGCAGGGACUAAGAAGAAGUGAGGAUGUGGAGCAAGGAAGGAUAAACUUGAUCAUGGGGAAUAGGAAAGCUAUACCUGUUACCAAGAUUGGAGUUUAUACUUUAUCGCUAAGUAGUGGGUUUAGUUUAGAUUUGAAUAAGUGUUGUUAUUCGCCAGGAAUGGCAAGAAAUAUUAUUUCCUUUCAUGCUUUGUACAAACAAGGGUUUACCUUUUCAUUUAAUAAUGAAGUUGGUUCUAUAGAUGUUUUCUAUAAUAAUGUCUUUUAUUUUAAAGCAUUACCUUGUGAUGGUGUGUAUGAAGCUGUAUCUGUUGUAGAUAACUUGGGAAAUAAUGUUUUGUGUAUUGAUUCUACUAAUAAUAACUUGGAUAAAGCAUCUUUAUGGCAUUGUCGUCUUGGACAUAUAAGCAAGAAACGCAUAGGCCAACUCCAAAAGGAUGGAGUCUUGGAGUCGUUUGACCUAAAGUCAGAUGAUAGUUGCGAAUCAUGCUUACUUGGAAAAAUGACAAAGUCACCCUUCACAGGUUCGUGUGAGAGGGGUGAAGGUUUGUUGGACCUUAUACACACGGAUGUGUGUGGACCAUUCAAACAUGCCACAAGGGAUGCUAAUCGUUAUUAUUUGACUUUUACUGAUGAUUAUAGUAGAUAUGGAUAUGUCUACUUGAUCAAGCAUAAGUCAGAGACUUUCGAGAGGUUUAAGGAAUUUAAACAGGAAGUCGAGAAUCAAUUGGGCAGGAACAUUAAGAUGCUUCGAUCCGAUCGUGGUGGUGAGUAUCUUAGUUCAGAGUUCCUCGACUAUCUAAGGGAAUGUGGGAUAGUCUCACAAUUGACACCUCCCAGGACACCACAGUUGAAUGGUGUGGCUGAGAGGCGUAAUCGAACCUUGUUGGAUAUGGUUCGUUCCAUGAUGAGUCGAGCUUCGCUACCAAUCUCAUUCUGGGGGUAUGCCUUAGAGACUGCCGCCCAUAUUCUUAAUCUAGUCCCUACAAAGAAAGUUGCCAAAACUCCUCACGAGAUGUGGACUGGUAAAGUACCCAAACUAGACCACAUCAAGAUUUGGGGUUGCGAGGCUUUUGUGAGGCGCGAGUCUCAUGAUAAGCUAGAACCCCGAAGCGAGAGGUGUAUUUUCAUCGGCUACCCACAAAGAUCCUUUGGUUACCUCUUCUACAGACCUAGUGAUAAUGUGGUCUUUGUAGCAAGAAGAGGAGUCUUUCGAGAGAGAGAAUUUAUAAGCCAAGGAGACAGUGGGAGGCAAAUUGACCUUGAAGAACUUCAAGAGUCAAGUGGUGAAGGAACUUCAAACCCUAGCCCUCAACUUGAGGAGGAAACUCCUGUUGAGCCAAUUGACGAGUCUGUACCUCUGAGGCGUUCCACGAGAGUUAGGAAUGCACCUGAGCAUUACUAUGGUUUCCAUAUUACUGCAGAAGGUGAGACACUUAUUAGUGAUGAGACACUAGUAGGUCUGGAUGAACCUAACAGCUACGCGGAAGCCAUGGCAGGCCCUGAGUCUGCUAAAUGGAAAG
RNAcentral lists this long non-coding RNA (69946 nucleotides) under Lactuca sativa (garden lettuce). Its description in RNAcentral is "long non-coding RNA (LSAT_LNC003050)". Lineage: Eukaryota; Viridiplantae; Streptophyta; Magnoliopsida; Asterales; Asteraceae. The record is from RNAcentral.